Molecule: long non-coding RNA, 57624 nt
Filed under: Triticum aestivum (bread wheat)
Lineage: Eukaryota; Viridiplantae; Streptophyta; Magnoliopsida; Poales; Poaceae
Description: long non-coding RNA (TAES_LNC014157)
Source: RNAcentral
UAAACGACGUCAACGGAUCGCCGGCGGCCAAAACCGGCUAGGAGGGGUGAUCAUCUUGUCGGGACCAUCACCGGCAACAUUAGCUCGAAUGGUCGAAAAUGGCGGCCAGAGACAGGAAAAGGAAGUAUGAAAUUAUGGAUCGAUUCGAAGGACAAAAAACACAAUCAAAACCAGCUUUUAAAUUUUUUCUUUGCCCCAGAGUGGUGUCUUGUAAUAGAUUGCUUCCCUUUUUGGUCACAAAUGUCGCCCACAACGAUGAAUUUGAGAUUUAUGUGAACUAUCCAUUUAACAUUUCAGAUCUUCUGAAUGUAUAUAACAAGAGAAAAAACAGGUUAAACUCAUGUAAGGUACUAUAUCUACCUAACCAGAUGCAUGGCAUUUCUCUAUGCAAAAGAUACCCACUGCACAAUACAGAAACCGGCAAAAAAAUGCUAGUAUCAGAUUCGUCACCCGUUCACGACACCGAGAAAAUACAAGGUAGAUUGCAGUGAUUGAUAUGCUGCAAAUAAAGGAGCAAUUUAUACAAGUUCAAUGCCAACCCAAGCUCUCCACAGCAGUAAAAGUGUCAUCUGCUUGGCCCUUUACAACACACAGAACAGGCUUCAUGGACACAUACCAUUGAACUAGGGUGACUCGCUACUGGCUGCUGGAGACCGGAGCGCCAUCUUCGCUCUGCACACCUUCAAUGGCCAGAAUUUUCUUAACAACUUGCUUGGGAAUGUCAAGGUCAUCCUGCAUGCAGCGUAGCAAGGGGUGCGAUAAGAUGAUGCAUAUCUGGCGGAACAGGACCCGGGCAAGCCCUUGGCCGCUCUCAAGAAUGUAGCCCUCGUACUGGCUGACAUGCUCAAGGGCAUCAACCAGCGAGUCAUACACGUUUUGUGGGCAGUUAUCAGCAGUAGGCUUGUCGUGCAGAUAGACUAUGUCCAUGGUGAAGUUCUUCGGCUUUACGGGCCACUGAUGGUGUGGCUUGGUUGAGGACCGGCAGUAGAUGAGUACCUGGAAUAAUCGGUUCUCUUGGAAAUCAAAACCAAGUCGCAAUCCACAAAUAACAACAGCAUGCACACACAAAGCAGUACUGUACUAUAUACGACACAUCCUAUUCGUAUUGUUAACCUUCUGUGCACAUCAACCUACUAGGCCAUUCCAGUUUAGAAUUGUACAUGCAUUUUAUACAUGUCGUGAGAUGCAGUAAGCCUUCUGACAAAAAAAAGAUCUGAAUGAUAUCAAAUCAUUCUCCACCAAAAACAGUUUAGAAUUGUACUGCUAAACUUGUACUCCCUCCGUCCCAUAAAUGUAAGAUGUUUUUUGACACUAGUGUCAAAAAACGUCUUACAUUAUGGGAUGGAGGGAGUACAUUUUGUAAGUUUUGUCAACCCUCUGUUGACACGAACCUACUAUGCCUUUUCAGUUUAGAAUUGUACUGCAUUUUAUACAUAACACAAACUACAGUGAGCCUUCUACAAAAGAAACUUCUGAAUGCUAUCAGAACAUUCUCCACCCAAAAUAGGCAGAUGGUAGGCUAGGUGAUGCAGAAAUACAGUGCAAAUGAUCUCAAAUAGUGCACAAAGCACUGGAGGCAUUGUUAUACAAAAGGAAGAUUGGCGUGGCCAUACAACAAUCAACAGAUGACCCUAGUACCUUUGAUAAGAGGUACGAGUGGGUAUCCUACCACUUUGUACACGCAGGGUCCCAUAAUGGUUGUCAACCUGUUAACUAUUUCGUCUUGGGGAUAUCAGAACUACUUAUUAAGCAGUUUAUGAUUGAUGUUUUAUGCUAUGCUAGGACAUUAGAUGACAAGUGGUGAAGUGGAAUUGUGGAUGACCAACACCAGCCUGCCCGGGACUUACAUGCCCUUGUGUCGAAACACAUUAUUACACAGCAUUGUUUAGAAAAAAACAUUGCCAUUUAUAUGUCAAUUACUGGCUUCCCACAUGCUUAGAAACAAUGCCAUUUCUGCCUGGUGGUAGGCUAGUUACAAUUACUAGCAAGACAGAAAAUGUUACCAGAAAUUAGAGCAACUUGCAGCAAGCUUACCACUCUAAGUAGUCGCCCUUGCGUUUCUGCCCUUUUCCCUUCCUCGUACGCUAUCUUGAAGAGAUGAGUGAGAUCAGCCACUGCAUAUCUCGUGUCAGUAGCAGCCAGGGACCGGAUAGUCUCAAUUGAAGAAGCAGCAUCACUGGUGAAUUCUUUGCUUAUCUUAAAUUCAGAAUAAAACAAGUCAAUCCCCAGUUCACCAUCACAUUGCAGAAAGCAAUAUAUGAGAGUAACCCACAAAGCUCAAAUCAAAGUAUCAAACUACAAACUUAACUUCAGAAUAACUAAAGGCAAUCCCUCAGUUCAUUACCACAUUGCUGAAACAACUUCUGGAAUUCAUUAACCCACAACACUAAAGGCAAACUAAAGAAUAUCAAGAAACUAGCAUAGGUUAAUCAAUAGGGAUAAUUUUGUGGGGCCAAUGUUCUGCAGUUGGGGAAAUUUUUGGGCAACUACUCAGUUUUCAUGUCCAUUUCUUCAUGUAUCCGGAUUCGGCAUUCAAAUGGGCAACAUCAUAAAUCGUUAAGCAAACAGAUCUGCAGUGAGUGGCAAAAAAUCGCACACAUGAACUGAAACGGUUAACCCUAGAAAUCAGGGGGCGUGUACCGAAGCACUCCUCGUCUGGUUAUCUACCCGAGAGAGUGAGGGGACAAGGAGGGCAGUAGAGUACUACCAAGGAGACGGUGUCGCGGAGGGAGGCGAAGGCGAAGCGGUGGUCGGGGCACAUGGUGAGCUUGCUGUGGAGGAAGAGCAUGAGGGCCUGCUUGACGGCGUCCAUCCGCCGCACCGCCGGGCGCGCGGAGCGUGGGGGCGCCGCCGGAUCCAUGAGCGCGCCGGGGCCGGGGGAGCCGGUGGAGCCGGAGGAGGCGGGGGACGCGGACGCGGACGCGGCGGCGACCUUCAUCUCGGAGCGCGCCUCGGCGUCGACGUCGACGCAGAAGAGGAUGUCCUCCAGCGGGAGGCGGCUCGGCGGCAGCGAGAACUCCGGCGAGGUCGCCGGCGCCGCCGCGGAGGAGGAGGAGGACGGCGGGACGCCGUGGCGCGGGGCGUGGUCCAUGGGGGGUGGAUGGAUGGAUGGUCGUCGGGAUCGGGAGGGGGUGGCCUCCGAAAUGCCGGACUCGAGGGCUGCUUUCACUAUUUGCUCGCUCCUUGCGACUGAAUAACCUGGUCUCAUACGAUUUUCCCCCCUCCCCCUGCAAGCUUUUGGGUAAAGCGGAAUAGAAUCGACUUGGCUUGUAAGUGGUAUAGAAAACCCAUACAUUUUCUCUCAAAUAGAAAUUAUGGGUAUGUUUAGAGCGCCGCCAAAUGAAAACAUAUGCGUGGACAAACCCGACCCGACAUAAUGGAUCGUCAUCAUUCGUCGCACUCAAGAUCACACGGUGUCUAUGACAUAAUCGUUAGUUUUAUGUCUUUGUUCACUCCUGUUUGGCGAGGCGAUUGGUUAUGAAUGACACUUGCGGCCACCCUCGACGAAUGUUAUUUUUCUCAACAGCUCUGUGGCAUCCAUGUUGGGCUAGGUUGGCUGAUGAUAGCCAUGUUCCUUGUAAUGUGUGCAGGGUUAUUUUUCCUGAUUUUUUUUACAAAUCCAGAUAAUUCUUACUACGUUCUCAAUUAAUGAAAACGGUAGGUCUCUCGCCUCAUUUAAGAAAAAUGCACAAUAUGCCUUUAUUGGUUUUGAGUAUUCUUCAAUGCAAGACUUCUAUAUGAGAAAAAUAUCUUGAUUCCGAUUUUUAUCAAAACAUGUAUAGAAGAAAUAGAAUGCACAUUGCAUAAGAAUUUAAUGUUCUUUUUCGCGAGUAUAGUUUUCGAAGGAAUACUAAUUUCAUCCCCAACCCUUUACCCUUUGUCCUACCGUUUAAGUUUAUAUCCACAUUUAACCCUUGAGUUGCCACUAUGUAUCAAAGGUUGCACAAUCUAAGUUCUCAUCUAGUUACCAGAUAUUGCACAUUAUUCUGCAAUUUAACCACUUUAAAAAAUUUAGUGAGUGGCUUACAUGCCAGAACCAUGAGGAAAAUAAAGGUUAUGGUUUUGCGGUAUAUUGUAGAAUAUAAUAUCUUUAAAUUUUCAAGAAAAUUCACUCAUUUUAUUGUUAGAAUCAGUGAGAUAAAAUCCUCUCAAUAUUAAUAGAAAUUUCAUACAAUUAUUUCUAAAAUUUGUGAUAUGCUGUUGUGACAUCUCAAACUUAAUAGGAAUGAUAGACUACUCAUAUAAACAAGGUGCACAUUUUUUCGGGAGCCCAUCAAAAAGGAAUCUCAAAGUUAAGUGUGCUUGACUUGGAGAAAUUCGCGAAUAGGUGACCGAGUGGCAAGUUGGUCCCGGGUGCGCACAAGUGAGGACAAAGUGCGGGGCCAGUCUAGAUCGCUAGCACAAUAGCCCGGAACUGAUGGAUUUGGUCAGGGCGUUACAAUUGGUAUCAACGCCGGCCCUCAUGGUUAAACGGGCGUGUGCGGGCCAAUGAUGCAUACAUGGGGCAUGUGUGGAUGGUGGCACUAACACUCACAAACCUGUGCCAAGAGAGAACGUUCUAGCUAGGCCGACGGGGACGUCGACUGCUUUGAGGGGCGUGUAUGUGACAUCCCGAAUGAUAGACUACUCUUACAAACAAGGUGCACCUUCACAAUUCGAGGAUGGGUGACCGACCGGAAAGUUGAUCUUGGGUGCGCAGGAGUGAGGAUACAGUGCACAGGAAAGACUAGUGUUGGUGUGUGGGACUAGUCUAGAUCGUUACAGGCAACCACAUGUGGCAUCUCAGUUCUGUGCCACAUGAACAUGUCAUGUGAGGCCACCCUAUCAAAUCCGGAGAAGUUUUAUAUAUCUUAUAAAUUGUGUAAUCAUGCACAAUCUGUGAACAAAAAGGCAAUCAGUCUUAAUAGGUACUCCCUCCUUAAAGAAAUAUAAGAGCGUUUAGGUCACAACUUUAGUGAUCUAAGCACUCUUAUAUUUGUUUACAAAGGGAGUAUUGUUUGACACCUUCCGAUGUUUCAUGGAUGAAAAAAAAAGAAAUUACUAAGUAAGUGUAAGAAAACAAUAGUGCCCCAGGCAUGUAGUUUGGGUGUAAAAGAGGAGUGAGGCCGGGGGACCCUCUUUCUCCUCUGUUAUUUGUCUUAGCUGCAGACUUUCUCCAGACAAUCUUGAAUAAUGCAAUGCAGAAAGAUGUUUUGGAAGCCCCAAUCACCUGUAUUGCAUGGCCUGACUUCCUCGUUCUGCAAUAUGCUGACGAUACCACAUCAUCAUGCAGGCAUGCUCAACACAACUCUAUCAGCUAAAGGGACUCAUGGUUCUCUUUUCUAAAGCAUCAGGACCGAAAGUCAAAUACCAAAAAUCCAACAUGCUUCCUAUUAAUAUUCCUAAAAAUGGCAUUCAUGCUUUGUCCCACAUUUUGGAAUGCAAGGUUGGGGCCUUCCCUUUUACUUAGUUGGGAGUGCCCCUCAGCUAUAACAAACCAAAGAUGAAUUUUUUUCAUGUAUGUUAUUGAGAGAAUUCAAGAAAAGACUAAAUUGCUCACAACACCUGAGUUAUGAUGGCAGACUACUAAUUGUUAAUGUUGUGCUUUCCUCUUAGCCCACAUUUCUCAUGAGUUUCCUGCUUCUGUACAAAGGUAUUAUUUAACAAAUUGACAAGUAUAGGAGGCACCGCUUUUGGAGAGGCAAAGAUUUGGAGAAGAAAAAUCCACCACUUGCUACCUGGGAGUUAGUUUGCAAACCAAAGGAUCAAGAUCGAUUAGGGGUGCUUAAUUUGCACACUCAGAACAUAAACCUCUUUCUUAAGAUGGUGCGCAAAUUCCUCAAUCAUUUGGAUCUCAUAUGGGUUCAUCUAAUUUGGGAAUCAUACUUACCCCAAGGCAUUACUGGUCUACCCCAGCCCACGGUUCCUUUUGGUGCAUGUCAGUGUAUAAGGAGAAGGCAGUCUGCUUGCCUGAAAAUGGCCAAACAACGGAUUUUUUUGGACUAAUCACUGCGAUGGUAUUCCCAAAUUGCAGUUAUCAUUACUAGGGAAAAGCCUAGCAGCAGCGCGGGUUUUCGGCCUUUUAGUAGCGCGGGGGCCGGCGCUACUAAUAAGGCGCUACAGCUAACGUAUAGCAGUAGCGCUGGUCCACCCGCGCUACUGCUACACAAGUGUUGCAGCAGCGCGCUUAAAGGAACCUCGCUGCUGCUAAUAGCUAUAGCACGCUUCCCCUGUGCGCGCUACUGCUAACUUUUCUCCACUCGCUACUGCUAAUUUUAUUAAUUUUUUGUUUUUUUUCGGCAUAUUUGUUUUGUAUUUGAACAGGCUUUAUAGAAGAAUCUUUAGCACAUACAAAUGUCAUCAUGAUACACAUACAAAUUCCUGCGAGACCACAAAUGUAAUCAUAGCAUAUACAUACAAAUAGUCUCGUCAUAAUCAUCAUCCAACACAAAGUGGUAUCUUGUCAUCAUCUCGAAAAUAGCGAUACAUGCAAGUCUCGAAUACUUGCAACUACAACGUCAUCCAUCUAAACAAAGGUAUACACGAGAAGAGCUAUCACUAUGAGUGAGAGCGGAACUAUGCAGUACAUGAGAUGGCGGUUACGAGUCCUCUCUCGCGCUAGCGUGAACCUGUGGUUAUUGGUGUGCUCUCGGCCGGCUCCAGACGAAUAAGAUUCUUCGUCCAUAGCAGCACCCAACCCUUGCAGCUUCCAAUCCGCGGCAGGGUCUCGUCGUCCGCUCCCACAUGCUGUACUGGAGGAGGCAAAUCCUCGUACCCCGAUUUCACACUGGACAAGCUAACCCUGAAGUGCCCAGCAGGGAUCGGCUGGUUGUGGAACGUGGAUUGCAAGGGGUCCAUUAUCAUCCCCUUUCCCACGUCCACCUUCUGGCAUUUGAUCACGUAGAGUAUGGUGCAUGGGGUUUCUUUUGCCUGCAAACACAUAUGUCUGUGGCGUAAAACAUCCGAAAGGCAACAAAAAUGGAAUAUUAUAUAUAUAUGGUGGUGCGACAUGUAAUUACCGUGAUGGCGUCGAGCUCAGCCAAAGACGAAGGCCCACUGAGCGCGCCAGAGACUGAGGACGGGCUGCUAUGAGCGGGAGCGGCUGCGAGAGGAGGCCCGGUUGCGUGGGCAAGUGAUGGUGCGAUGAUGUUGUUGUUCAUGGAGUUGCUCCCGUUGAAACUGGGCAACGGGAAAUCAUGUACCGUCUUGUCUGGAUUUUCCUUCGUCCAGUUGAUGAUAACUGGAACCAAGUUAGUACUGAAAUUAUUUCUGCAGGCAGUUACAGCUGCAUUGACUGCCUGCUGUAACAACUCAUAUUUGUCCUCGGCUGCUUUUUUCGCGUCCUCAGCUGCUUUUUUCUCGACCGCAAGCUUCACCUUCGCGUCGAUGUCCGCCUGACUAAACUUCUUUUUCUGCUUCUUGGCCUCCGGGCCCUCGUUGUAAAACACCUUCCACGUGGCGCCAUCUCCAGCGCCGUGCACACGACCAUAUUGCGGCCGCUGGCCCAAAGGGAGUCCCUUAAGUUCGUUCAAGGCUCGGUCGAGAGGGGUGUCCCACUUGGGCCUCAUCGGAGAAGUAGGGUUUUCGGCUGCAAGCUGGUGUUGCUUCUCCAGUAGUCUAAUCAAUUUCCUCGUGAUCUUGUCCAUGUAAAAAAGCUUUUUCUCCCUGUCUCACUUGUAGCGGGCCCUGAUGAAGUCAUGCUCCAAGGGGUUGGUGAACUUCGCGAAGGGGUCUGGGAGACCCGCGGCUUCACGUUCCGCGUCCUCCUUAUCCCAUAUGGGCCUUUUACCGAGGUAGCCACGGCUUUUGAGGCGAUGCUUCCCCGUGUUCCUUUGCUGAAGGCUCUUGAAUUUCGCAGCCUUAGCCUUGGCGUCCUCGGUAGCGCAAGUGUCCUUGAACUUUUCGAACUCCUCUUCCGUAAGUGUCAGAUUUUCCUCCAGAAUCUUGGACAGGGGUUCCUCAGCCUCAAUAGCUCGUUUCACCCUCGAUUUCCAGGAGGCCAAAUCAUUACUGAACAUGCCCAUGGCGUGAUUGUUAAUCUUUUUCAUCUUCGGAUCAUCCCACGGUUGUUCUAUGUUAUCAUCCCGAUCGGGGAACUUGAAUCUCUUGUGCAACUUCGUUAGGAGCAACUGCGUCAAAUGUUCUUUACUCCUUAAGUCAUCGUCAUUGAUGCUCGCACAUUCCCGUAGGAUGCAUCCUACUUGGUUCCCGUAGCACUUGCGAGGUUCUUCCGGCUCUAACGGCUCAAACUUGCCAGGUGCCAUCUUUGUGAUCACAAGUCGUCCAAUCCCUAGUUUGUUAGGUUUUUGUAUCCUCUGCUUCUUAUGCCUCUUUUCGGUACCGGCAUCGGCGCUGAUAUCUUCCCCGGCGGUACCUUUCCCACCGGUCUCGGCGCCGCCAUCGGUGCCGGCGCCGUCGGUGUCGGUGUCGGCGUCAGUACCAUCAUCGAGGCGGACCUGCAAACCUUGCUUAGCAGUCAAAAAGUCGAGGUAGUCUUGUUCACCCUCAUAAUCCAUCUCGUCUGCAUCUUGGUCAGAAGGCCCAGUUUCUUCGUUGUUUGACAUGUUUCCUAUGAUUAAGUGUCCUCAUUUAUUUCUAAAAGUAUGAAUAAAUGAGAAAUGAGAUAAAAAAGAAAUCUAUGUGCCAGCACUCGAUAUGCCAACUAUGUAGCACAAAUCAUGCCUUUAUUCACGGGAAAUUUCGGCAUGACCUUUGCUAAAAAAUGGACAUAUCGAGCGCCUGAAAUUCACCGGAAUGGAAAUGAAUCGACAUUCCGGCGUAACAUAGGCAACUCGGAUCAUUUACCAAAACAUGACAUGUCCAAAACAUGACAUAUCCACAUAUCACAUGUCCAGUUCAAAUUUGCAUAUAAAUUCAACAAAUUUUGAAACCUAUCUAAAUUCAUAACUAAAUAGAUAACCUAAUUAACAUAACUAAAACCUAAGUAAAUUAACCCUAGCUAGCAGAGAGAGAGCGGGGGGUGGUUUACAGAGGGUGCAGGGCGAGGAGGCAGGCCCGACGACGGCCGAGGUUGGGAGGGGAGGAAGAAGAGGAGGGAGGCGAGGGCCGACGGGUCGGGGGCGAGCGCCGGCGCCGGGGGCGAGCGCGUCUGGGUCGGAGGCGGCGGGGUCGGGGGCGAGCGCACCGGGGUCGGGCGCGGCGGGGUCGGGGGCGAGCGCGCUGGGGUCAGGGGCGAGCGCGCCGAGGUCGGGGGCGGGCGCAGCGGUGCGACAGGGUCGGGGAAGAGAGAGUGGGGAUUUGGGGGAAAAGAGGCGGGAUGAAGGAGGGAGAGGGAGAAUUUUGGGUUAAGUGGACGUAGCAGUAGCGCGUUUACACGAAACGCGCUACUACUAUUACGAGCAGCUAUAGCGAUUUUCUGCAGAAACCGCUACUGCUACCUUGACUAGCUGUAGCUCUUUUUCACUAAAGCGCUACUGCUAUAACCAGUUUCCCUUUUUUCUUUUCCUCAGCAUAAUAGGAACAUAUAUAUUACAUCAUUGGACCCUUGCAUAAUAAUGGCUAAGUGUGUAUACAAAAUAGGAACAUAUAUAUAUAUUACAUCAUUGGACCCAUGCAUAAUAAUGGCUAAUUAAGUGUGUAUACAAAAUAGGAACAUAUAUUUCCAUUUUGCAAAAGCAUGAAAUAUUAAUCACAUCUCUAUCUCGAGAUCGAGCACACGGUGGAGAUGAUGAUGUAGGAAGGUCAAAAGUGCACAAAGCUCUUCUUGACAAAGAAAGAUCUAGUUAGGGGGCAAAUAGGUCACUUAACUAAAUGCUACAUCUACCUAGCUAGCUAAUUUGGGAGGAGACAACUUCAACUAGUGGAGGGGGGAGGAAAAAGAGAAAGAAGAUGAAUUAAUGGAGGUGGUGUAGUUAUAGCUAGGAGUAAUGAAGAGAGAGAAAGUUAGGUAGAAGAGGGAGAGUAAUGGGGGGAGAAGUAUUGAGGAAGAAGAAGAGUGAGAGAGGGAGGAUGUGGGAGGUAGGGGAAAGGGAGGAGAGGAGAUGGGGAGGGGAGGUGGAAAAGGUGGUGGGUGCUGCGUCUUAGCAGUAGCGCGUGACAGGAAAGCGCGCUGCUGCUAAGAGCGUAGCAACAACGUGCUUUCCUGUCACGUGCUACUGCUAAACGGGCCAACCCUGUGCACAAUUUCAAAAUUAGCAGCAGCGAGGUGACAAAAAAGCGCACUGCUACUAUGGCAUUAGCAGCAGCGCGCUUCCUGGCGCCGCGCUACUGGUAAACUUAUGUCAUUGUGUACUGUCGGUGGAUUUUUGUAGCAGCGCGGUUUAAGCGUCACGUGCUACUGCUAAGUUUGCACCAGUAGCGAGCUUUCCGUAGCCGCGCUGCUACUACUUAGCAGCAGCGCCUAUUUUUAUGCCGCGCUGCUGCUAAGAUUCUGUAUAUAAGGUUUUCCCUAGUACUGUAUGACCACAUUUGCACUCCUUCUCUCAUAAUCAAACAUAUCUUUACACUCCAUUGGUCGUUUGGAGGACACAACAGACCAUUUCCAUCUUCCCCUGUUAGAGGAAGCCUUUGCCCAAUUUCAAGACAUGGCUGAUAUGCACCAAAGUCUCUCUCUCUUAAAGACUUUACCUUGUAUCUUAUUUAAAAAACAAUAAAAAUAUGCAGCAGAGUCCUGCUGUUUCCCUAAAAAAAAGUGCAAUAGAACAAGUUGCAUUUUCGGUGAAGUGAAUUUGUACACGUUGACAAGUAUAAAGUGUCGUGUGCCAAACAUUAAUCAAUCAAAAACUCUAGCGACACCUAUGAUGACACAUGCCAUCAGCACCGUCCUCUUCCCCAGCUCCUCCUAGCCCUGACCACUCCCUUAUUGGCAUAGUAAGAUGAAGGAAAUAUGCCCUAGAGGCAAUAAUAAAGUUAUUAUUUAUUUCCUUAUUUCAUGAUAAAUGUUUAUUAUUCAUGUUAGAAUUGUAUUAACCGGAAACAUAAUACAUGUGUGAAUACAUAGACAAACAGAGUGUCACUAGUAUGCCUCUACUUGACUAGCUCAUUAGUCAAAAAUGGUUAUGUUUCCUAACUGACGGUGUCCUGGACUAGGGGGUACUCACCACGUCGUCUCCCGAUCUAUUAGAUUGGGCCGAGGACCCCCGUGGCUGUAUACUCAUGGGCCAGUUCGGACGGCUACCGCAUACAAGAAAGAUUCCACAAGACUUGGUGAUCAAGACAAGGACUUCUCCCCACCGGCGUAUUCGGCUAGGACUCUUGUUAUCCUAGGCCUUCGGUGCAUUAUAUAAACCGAGGCCAGGCUAGUCGAUAGAUACACAACAACAAUCAUACCAUAGGCUAACUUCUAGGGUUUAGCCUCCUUGAUCUCGUGGUAGAUCUACUCUUGUACUACCCAUAUCAUCAAUAUUAAUCAAGCAGGAGUAGGGUAUUACCUCCAUCGAGAGGGCCCGAACCUGGGUAAAAAACAUCGUGUCCCUUGUCUCCUGUUACCAUCCGGCCUUGACGCAUAGUUCGGGACCCCCUACCCGAGAUCUGCCGGUUUUGACACCGACAUUGGUGCUUUCAUUGAGAGUUCCGCUGUGUGAUCGACAAAAGGAUCGAUGGCUCGCCUGCAGAUCAACUGUGACUUCGGUAUCUUCGUCACCAGCUCGACUGGUCACCUUGGUUCGACCAAGAAUUGUGCCCCGUGUUCGGAUCACCAUGUCCGGACAAGGGCCUUCAUCAAACAUCAACUCCGAUCUCUAUCAAGAUCACGGAGAAAUCAUCUAUGGAGCUCGGGGGCUCAACGUCAACAUUGCCCUCAAGCGACCGUGCUAUUUUUCUGGACAGCGAACUCGUAUCUGCCACCACCACCUCCUCGAGUAUCACUUUGACGAUCGCUUUGGUGGAAUUGUGCGGAAUUGAGUAUACAACAACCCUGGAAAAUUUCAUUGAGUUCCGAUGGAGGAAUCUCUGGCAAUCCAUGAUAUACCGGAGCCCUGUCAAAUCCGGACAGGAAUUUGGAUGAGUUUAGGACGUGGUGUCCAGCUUCUAGCUCGGACGUCCUUUGGAAGAUCCAACCGUUGAGCGGCUGCGGAAUUCCUAUAUCUACCACCUGUCAAAAUUUCGGCUCGAUCCGACCGUCCAAACUCCGGUAACCUUCCGAUUAGUGCAUCACUUUUCGGAUCUGUUUUCUGCGCGAAAACGAAUCCGACCCGAGUUCAUCUUUUUUAUGAACAGGAUUUCGGACAUCCCUUUUGAAGGAAGUUUUGUAUGGGGUAUUGUGUUUUGUUCCCGAACACAUCCCACUAACUGUAAGAUCUUUUGAACAUGAUCUUCAACAUCAUGCUGGUGUCAAACCAGUCCGGCAAUAUUACUCCACGACUGCCGACCUGCAUUAGACACGGCGUCACUUUGUUGAGCCGAGCUCAACUUCUUCGGAUCAUCAUCUCGGCAAGCCGAACAAGAGCUCGGCAUCGUGAAGGAUAAAUCAUCACCAACAUCGCCGCCCCACGGAUUACACGGAGCGGGCAUACCGGCAUUGCCGCACGGUCGCUUCAUCAAGCCGGCAUCGACCACGUCACGACCUGCAUCGACAUGGCCGCACUAUUGCUUCUUCAAGCUGGUGUCCAUCACGCCGACCUACUUCGACUCAUCGGCUGACAUCGAGGCUUUUCGCCAUCUCUUCAUCAACCUACUCCGGACACUUCGGCGUCACUAGCCGAUCAGCUCCGUCACAUUAGCUGGGCCGAGGGCUUUGCCUCGGCGAGUCAACCUUUACCAACAUUGCCAUGCCGUCGUUUUAUCGCCCAUCAGGCAAUGGGUGUGCGGAGCGGGUCCCAAUUUUAGGAAUCACCUUCCUUCGGAUUGCUACAACAAAUAAAUCAGGUGCUAUUAAUCCCAGUAUUUUUUGCUUGUUUGUGUUCAUUUUUCCCAAGGAAUUAUUACUCUGAUUUGUCCGUCAUAUGUACACAGGUCUAUCAAAUGGUGGCUGCAUUAACGACAGUCUAUGGUGGUUCGGUCAGUUUCCGUACAUAGUCUGGCGAACGCCGCACUCGGAGCUCGGACCGACCUGUGAAUUCAGGCUUUGCCACGCCUUUACCGCAUCACGUCGACGCCCUGCAUCGACUUGACUUCGGCGCCAGGACAUAUUUCUUUAGUACUCACUUUGCAUAAAUUAUUUAUUAUGCAACGAUUUUUGUAAUUAUCAUUAUUACUAUUAUCUCCGGUUUGCACUAUUUUUUGUGCACAGGAAAAUGAUCCGGGGACUUCGGCAUCACUCUGCCGGUCUGCAUUGAUCGUGCUAUGUCACCACUUUGGCGUGUCAAGCUCUCCGCUCCGCCACCUUGGGACCGGCUUGAGGGAUGGAACCUUGCCCCGCAUCAAGCUCGGACCGCGUCAUCAAUACCGAACACAUUAACCAGCUAAGUCGCUUUCAUGCUCAAAGCUUUAAUUUCUAACUUGCGUUCGGUUCGACCAAGCAUUAUACUUUUUUGGAAAAAAGUUGCUUCUAAAAAAUUUCCUUGUCCAAACUUUGUUUGUGACGCAUAAAUUCAAAUACCCCGUUUACUUGGGGGCUUCCUUUAUGAAGCUUUUCCUGUUGCAUAUGAUUAUACUUGUACGGCUUCGUUCCUUGUUCGUGUAUUACGCCACAAUAUGCACCACAUUGACUUAAGCGAUUUGCAAGCUGGGUUGCCUCGCUCCUGUGUUUACCCCUACGUUCCCGAUUGUUCGGCUAGGGAGUAAAGGGAGCACCUCUGUGAUUGUCACGAUCGGGUCACCCGAGCCGGACCUCAGACUGGGUGAAGCCGAAAGCUAGCGCUCUUAUAGUUAUUCAAUGAUGGUCGGCACACAACGGAACUCAUGAGUACAAAAAAUCUAUUGCACAAGUCUCAUAAUAACAAUGAGCAUCGAAGAAAGGUAUCGGUGGGGGUACUAUUUUCUUCGAAGAUGCUUCUUACUCUUCGCAGUAAUAUAGCAUAAGUUCCCUGAGCGCGCUUUGUCUGUUACAGCCUUAUGGCCUGAUUGCCUGGUUAUUGGAAACACCGUCGAUAUUCUCGACCGAUGGAGUACAUAACACUUUUCGGUCCUUAACCAAAGAGGAAGAAGCCGACGGUCGGUUAAGACGCGUUUAAAGUUCGGUUGAAUAUAGAUAUGAUAUAAGUACUUCGGUACAUGCAAUCAUUCUUCUACCCAAGUCACUUGGGGGCCCUUAAGUUUAUUUGAGCCGUUUUAUAAUAAGUGUUCUUCUUCCCAGUCGUUGCAAAGUUCUAUUAUUAUUAUUUAUCACUCCUUUUUUCGACGCGAGUGUGCAGUCACUAGCCAGGGAGCCUAAUUUCUCUCUCAAAGCCGCUAGAGUUUAGUUUGCUAAACUGGCCUAAUGAGAAGUACUCCGCCCUCGGGAUAGGAGGUUGAAGCCGUAGGCUGACCCGCUCGAAGUCUUGAGAUAGGAUGUGUCAUGUUAAAGGACGACAGAAGCACUUCUUUUUUCUAAGACCAAUUUUCGGAUUGACACCGAACACUUGAUCUUGUUCGGAUGUCAUGUUUUUACUGACGUUUCUUGGUUUUCCAAGCUUUUUGGCACUUUUAAACUAUUUGUGCUUUUCCAGCAUUAGUCUCGCAGUGCAACGCCGGACACCUUUAGGGAUUCGGCAAAAACAUUCUCAGAUAUUGCUAUAUAUGCAUCGGUUUCGAAUUGUGUCUUCGGUCAAUAGUUGGGUUGCCCGGCUCCUGCACUUGCUUCCUACGUUCCGUUUUGUUCGGCUAGGCAUGCAAAGGGAGAACCACUACGAUUGUGCUUCCAGCUCACAUGGUUAAGCACCUUAGUGGAGAAAGCCGAAAACUGACUGUCACAAUAAGCGUAAACUGGUCAGCGAUCCGAUGACUAUGACGGGCCAUUCAUAACAUUGGCCGAAGUGUUUACGGCUUGACCUCGACUGUCGCUGAACACUACCGGGGGCUAUUAACUGGCCUCCCAAACUAAAUCCUCGAUAUUUUUCUCUUACAUUCGAGCCGAGGUUUCAUGAUCAUGCUUAGCAUGACAGCCCAAAGAAAGAAACCGAUAGCGGGACUAUUUUCUUUGGAAUACAUUUUUUCUGUUAAACAAUAAUAUAACAUAUCUUUUUGCGUACCUUUGUUUAUAAAACCGUGUGGCCAGAUUGCCUUGUUUGUCGUAAAUCUUUGCCCUCAUAAAGGCUCUAUAAAGUAGGACAAACACUCCUCGGCUACUGGCCAAGGAGGUGGAAGCCGAUGGUCGGUCAACAAAGUUUUGUACAAUGCGGAUCUGAGCAUUAAUGACGUAAAGUACUUGGAUACAUAGAGUCAUUACACAUAAUUUGUGAUUUUACUAUGGAUAUUGAUCCUUAAUUCGGCCACCCGUGCCCGCAUUAAGGCUCGGGGGCUACUGGGCUUCGGGCUUAUUAUUUACAAAUAUUAAAGGGGCACAUCGAUCCCCUGAUCUGGUGUUGCCACCCGACCAGUGUCUCGGGGGCUACUGCAUUGCUUGUCCAAUGCAGAAAAUUUUAUGUGCAAUAUAGUUUCCAAGGAGAUUUUGAUCCUCAGGUUGGUCGGCCGCACCCAACCCGAGUCUUGAGGACUGAGCACGCCGCUUUUGUGUCCCGAAGUAUUCUGCCGAGCUAGGACUUGAUCCUCAGGCCGAUUUUGCAAAUCAACCUGAGUCUCAGCGGCUACUGGGAUCAGCGGUCUUAUGUCAUCCUUCAUGUGCAUCUCGGGUUUUAGACCGAUACAUACCUUGAGGGCUACUGGCUAUAUAUCUCGGCAGAGAAUAAAUUGCACCAAUAAAAAAUAUUAACAAAAAAUCAGCCCAUAGUCGGGGUGGUGCACCACCUCGGAAGCAGUCCGACAUAAAGCUCGGGCGCUAGUGGCUGGCUCCAUAGAGGGCAUUUCCGGCAUUAAGCUCGGCUAAACUCCUUCAACUUUUUUGAACCAAGGUGAUAUGACACCUCGGAUAUAGUCCGGCAUUGGAGCCUGGACACAGUCCGGUGUUGGAGCUCGGAUAUAUUUCGGCGUUGGAGCUCGGAUAUACAGUUCGGCGUUGGAGCUCGGAUACAUAGUCCGACGAUGGAGCUCGGAUACAUUCCGGCGCUAGAGCUGGGAAGCGGUCCGGCGUUGGUGCUCGGCUGCAAAAGAUACCUCGAAUGCAGUCCGGCAUUGGAGCUCGGACGCAAGAGGACCCUGCCUCCCGGGAACAACUUCAAACCCGAGGUGUGGCAUAAAAAUAAACAAGGCAUUGAUAAAGGCCGGAAACUUAAAGGGGCUCCUCGGAUACCCGACGUGUAAACUCGUCGAAUGCAUUUCGGCGAUCCUCAAGAUCAAAGAUAAAGAAGAUUUGUUGAACCAGUUUUCAAGACCGGCAAUCGAAGAUAAAGAAUAGUUCGGAAGAAUCGAGGAGCGUCCCUAACUUGAAGACCGGUUCAGGGGGCUACUGACGGUGUCCUGGACUAGGGGGUACUCACCACGUCGUCUCCCGAUCUAUUAGAUUGGGCCGAGGACCCCCAUGGCCGUAUACUUAUGGCCCAGUUCGGACGGCUACCGCAUACAAGGAAGAUUCCACAAGACUUGGUGAUCAAGACAAGGACUUCUCCCCACCGGCGUAUUCGGCUAGGACUCUUGUUAUCCUAGGCCUCCGGUGCAUUAUAUAAACCGAGGCCAGGCUAGUCGAUAGAUACACAACAACAAUCAUACCAUAGGCUAACUUCUAGGGUUUAGCCUCCUUGAUCUCGUGGUAGAUCUACUCUUGUACUACCCAUAUCAUCAAUAUUAAUCAAGCAGGAGUAGGGUAUUACCUCCAUCGAGAGGGCCCGAACCUGGGUAAAAAACAUCGUGUCCCUUGUCUCCUGUUACCAUCCGGCCUUGACGCAUAGUUCGGGUCCCCCUACCCGAGAUCCGCCGGUUUUGACACCGACACUAACCAUAGACAAAGAGUUGUUAUUUGAUUAACGGGAUCACAUCAUUAGGAGAAUGGUGUGAUUGACUUGACCCAUUGCAUUAGCUUAGCACUCGAUCGUUUAGUAUGUUGCUAUUGCUUUCUUCAUGACUUAUACAUGUUCCUAUGACUAUGAGAUUAUGCAACUCCCGUUUACCGGAGGAACACUUUGUGUGCUACCAAACGUCACAACGUAACUGGGUGAUUAUAAAGGAGCUCUACAGGUGUCUCCAAAGGUACAUGUUGGGUUGGCGUAUUUCGAGAUUAGAAUUUGUCACUCCGAUUAUCGGAGAGGUAUCUCUGGGCCCUCUCGGUAAUGCACAUCACCUAAGCCUUGCAAGCAAUGCAACUAAAUGAGUUAGUUGCGAGAUGAUGUAUUACGGAACGAGCAAAGAGACUUGCCGGUAAUGAGAUUGAACUAGGUAUUGAUAUACUGAUGAUCGAAUCUCGGGCAAGUCACAUACCGAUGACAAAGGGAACAACGUAUGUUGUUAUGCGGUCUGACUGAUAAAGAUCUUCGUAGAAUAUGUGGGAGCCAAUAUGAGCAUCCAGGUUCCGCUAUUGGUUAUUGACCAAAGACAUGUCUCGGUCAUGUCUACAUUGUUCUCGAACCCGUAGGGUCCGCACGCUUAAGGUUUCGAUGACAGUUAUAUUAUGAGUUUAUGAGUUUUGAUGUAACGAAGUUGGUUCGGAGUCCCGGAUAUGAUCGCGGACAUAACGAGGAGUCUCGAAAUGGUCGAGACAUAAAGAUUGAUAUAUUGGACAGCUAUAUUCGGACACCGGAAGUGUUCCGAGGAAGUUCCGGAUAAAACCAGAGUACCGGGGGGUUACCGGAACCCCCCGGGGGGUUAAUGGGCCUCAUGGGCCUAAAGUGGAGAAGAGGAGGGGCUGCCAGGGCAGGCCGCGCGCCCCCUCUCCCCCUAGUCCGAAUUGGACAAGGAGGAAGGGGCGGCGCCCCCCUUUCCUUCCUCUCCUCUCUCCCUUCCUCCCCCUCUCCUACUUGGACAAGGAAAGGGAGGGGAGUCCUACUCCCGGUAGGAGUAGGACUCCUCCUGCGCGCCUCCUACUAGGGCCGGCCGCACCCCCCUUGGCUCCUUUAUAUAUGGAGGCAGGGGGCACCCCUAGACACACAAGUUGAUCCACGUGAUCGUUUUCUUAGCCGUGUGCGGUGCCCCCUUCCACCAUAAUCCUCGAUAAUAGUGUAGUGGUGCUUAGGCGAAGCCCUGCGACAGUUGAACAUCAAGAUCGUCACCACGCCGUCGUGCUGACGGAACUCUUCCCCGACACUUUGCUGGAUCGGAGUCCGGGGAUCGUCAUCGAGCUGAACGUGUGCUGAAACUCGGAGGUGCCGUAGUUUCGAUGCUUGGAUCGGUCGGAUCGUGAAGACGUACGACUACAUCAACCGCGUUGAUAUAACGCUUCCGCUGUCGGUCUACAAGGGUACGUAGAUCACACUCUCCCCUUGUUGCUAUGCAUCACCAUGAUCUUGCGUGUGCGUAGGAAUUUUUUUGAAAUUACUACGUUCCCCAACAGUGGCACCCGAGCCUAGGUUUUAUGUGUUGAUGUUAUUUGCAUGAGUAGUCACAAGUGAGUUGUGGGCGAUAUAAGUCAUACUUCUUACCAGCAUGUCAUACUUUGGUUCAGCGGUAUUGUUGGACGAAGCGGCCCGGACCGACAUUACGCGUACGCUUACGCGAGACCGGUUCUCCCGACGUGCUUUGCACAAAGGUGGCUAGCGGGUGUCAGUUUCUCCAACUUUAGUUGAACCGAGUGUGGCUACGCCCGGUCCUUGCGAAGGUUAAAACAGCACCAACUUGACAAACUAUCGUUGUGGUUUUGAUGCGUAGGUAAGAUUGGUUCUUGCUUAAGCCCGUAGCAGCCACGUAAAACUUGCAACAACAAAGUAGAGGAUGUCUAACUUGUUUUUGCAGGGCAUGUUGUGAUGUGAUAUGGUCAAGACAUGAUACUAAAUUUUAUUGUAUGAGAUGAUCAUGUUUUGUAACCGAGUUAUCGGCAACUGGCAGGAGCCAUAUGGUUGUCGCUUUAUUGUAUGCAAUGCAACUGCGCUGUAAUGCUUUACUUUAUCACUAAGCGGUAGCGAUAGUCGUGGAAGCAUAAGAUUGGCGAGACGACAACGAUGCUACGAUGGUGAUCAAGAUGUCGCGCCGGCGAUGAUGGUGAUCAUGACGGUACUUCGGAGAUGGAGAUCACAAGUACAAGAAGAUGAUGGCCAUAUCAUAUCACUUAUAUUGAUUGCAUGUGAUGUUUAUCUUUUAUGCAUCUUAUCUUGCUUUGAUUGACAGUAGCAUUAUAAGAUGAUCUCUCACUAAAUUUCAAGAUAAAAGUGUUCUCCCUGAGUAUGCACCGUUGCCAAAGUUCGUCAUGCCCAGACACCACGUGAUGAUCGGGUGUGAUAAGCUCUACGUCCAUCUACAACGGGUGCAAGCCAGUUUUGCACACGCAGAAUACUCAGGUUAAACUUGACGAGCCUAGCAUAUGCAGAUAUGGCCUCGGAACACUGAGACCGAAAGGUCGAGCGUGAAUCAUAUAGUAGAUAUGAUCAACAUAGCGAUGUUCACCAUUGAAAACUACUCCAUUUCACGUGAUGAUCGGUUAUGGUUUAGUUGAUUUGGAUCACGUAAUCACUUAGAAGAUUAGAGGGAUGUCUUUCUAAGUGGGAGUUCUUAAGUAAUAUGAUUAAUUGAACUUAAAUUUAUCAUGAACUUAGUACCUGAUAGUAUCUUGCUUGUUUAUGUUUGAUUGUAGAUAGAUGGCCCGUGCUGUUGUUCCGUUGAAUUUUAAUGCGUUCCUUGAGAAAGCAAAGUUGAAAGAUGAUGGUAGCAAUUGCACGGACUAGGUCCGUAACUUGAGGAUUAUCCUCAUUGCUGCACAGAAGAAUUACGUCCUGGAAGCACCGCUGGGUGCCAGGCCUGCUGCUGGAGCAACACCAGAUGUUACGAACGUCUGGCAGAGCAAAACUGAUGACUACUUGAUAGUUCAGUGUGCCAUGCUUUACGGCUUAGAAUCGGGACUUCAACGACGUUUUGAACGUCAUGGAGCAUAUGAGAUGUUCCAGGAGUUGAAGUUAAUAUUUCAAGCAAAUGCCCGGAUUGAGAGAUAUGAAGUCCCCAAUAAGUUCUAUAGCUGCAAGAUGAAGGAGAACAGUUCUGUCAGUGACCAUAUACUCAAAAUGUCUGGGUAUAAUAAUCACUUGAUUCAAUUGGGAGUUAAUCUUCCAGAUGAUUGCGUCAUUGACAGAAUUCUCCAAUCACUGCCACCUAGCUACAAGAGCUUCGUGAUGAACUAUAAUAUGCAAGGGAUGAAUAAGACUAUUCCCGAGCUCUUCGCAAUGCUAAAAGCUGCGGAGGUAGAAAUCAAAAAGGAGCAUCAAGUGUUGAUGGUCAACAAGACCACUAGUUUCAAGAAAAAGGGCAAAGGGAAGAAGAAGGGGAACUUCAAAAAGAACAGCAAGCAAGUUGUUGCUCAAGAGAAGAAACCCAAAUCUGGACCUAAGCCUGAAACUGAGUGCUUCUACUGCAAGCAGACUGGUCACUAGAAGCGGAACUGCCCGAAGUAUUUGGCGGAUAAGAAGGAUGGCAAGGUGAACAAAGGUAUAUGUGAUAUACAUGUUAUUGAUGUGUACCUUACUAGAGCUUGCAGUAGCACCUGGGUAUUCGAUACUGGUUCUGUUGCUAAUAUUUGCAACUCGAAACAAGGACUAUUGAUUAAGCGAACACUGACAAAGGACGAGGUGACGAUGCGCAUGGGAAAUGGUUCCAAAGUCGAUGUGAUCGCGGUCGGCACGCUACCUCUACAUCUACCAUCGGGAUUAGUAUUAGACCUAAAUAAUUGUUAUUUGGUGCCAGUGUUGAGCAUGAACAUUAUAUCUGGAUCUUGUUUGAUGCGAGACGGUUAUUCAUUUAAAUCAGAGAGUAAUGGUUGUUCUAUUUAUAUGAGUAAUAUCUUUUAUGGUCAUGCACCCUUGAAGAGUGGUCUAUUUUUGAUGAAUCUCGAUAGUAGUGAUACACAUAUUCAUAAUGUUGAAGCCAAAAGAUGCAGAGUUGAUAAUGAUAGUGCAACUUAUUUGUGGCACUGCCGUUUAGGUCAUAUCGGUGUAAAACGCAUGAAGAAACUCCAUAUUGAUGGACUUUUGGAACCACUUGAUUAUGAAUCACUUGGUACUUGCGAACCGUGCCUCAUGGGCAAGAUGACUAAAACACCGUUCUCCGGUACUAUGGAGAGAGCAACAGAUUUGUUGGAAAUUAUACAUACAGAUGUAUGUGUUCCAUUGAAUGUUGAAGCUCGUGGCAGAUAUCGUUAUUUUCUCACCUUCACAGAUGAUUUAAGCAGAUAUGGGUAUAUCUACUUAAUGAAACAUAAGUCUGAAACAUUUGAAAAGUUCAAAGAAUUUCAGAGUGAAGUUGAAAAUCAUCAUAGCAAGAAAAUAAAGUUUCUACGAUCUGAUCGUGGAGGAGAAUAUUUGAGUUACGAGUUUGGUCUACAUUUGAAACAAUGCGGAAUAGUUUCGCAACUCACGCCACCUGGAACACCAUAGCGUAAUGGUGUGUCCGAACAUCAUAAUCGUACUUUACUUGAUAUGGUACGAUCUAUGAUGUCUCUUACAGAUUUACCGCUAUCGUUUUGGGGUUAUGCUCUAGAGACAGCCGCAUUCACAUUAAAUAGGGCACCAUCAAAAUCCGUUGAGACGACACCUUAUGAACUGUGGUUUGGUAAGAAACCAAAGUUGUCGUUUCUAAAAGUUUGGGGCUGCGAUGCUUAUGUGAAGAAACUUCAACCUGAUAAGCUCGAACCCAAAUAGGAGAAAUGUGUCUUCAUAGGAUACCCAAAAGAGACUAUUGGGUACACCUUCUAUCACAGAUCCGAAGGCAAGACAUUUGUCGCUAAGAAUGGAUCCUUUCUGGAGAAGGAGUUUCUCUCAAAAGAAGUGAGUGGGACGAAAGUAGAACUUGAUGAGGUAACUGUACCUGCUCCCUUAUUGGAAAGUAGUACAUCGCAGAAACAGGUUUCUGUGACACCUACACCAAUUAGUGAGGAAGCUAAUGAUAAUGAUCAUGAAACUUCAGAACAAGUUACUACUGAACCUUGUAGAUCAACCAUAGUAAGAUCCGCACCAGAGUGGUACGGUAAUCCUGUUCUGGAAGUCAUGCUACUAGAUCAUGAUGAACCUACGAAGUAUGAAGAAGCAAUGGUGAGCCCAGAUUCCGCAAAAUGGCUCGAAGCCAUGAAAUCUGAGAUGGGAUCCAUGUAUGAAUACAAAGUAUGGACUUUGGUUAACUUGCCCAAUGAUCGGCAAGCAAUUGAGAAUAAAUGGAUCUUCAAGAAGAAGAAUAACGCUGACGAUAAUGUUACUGUCUACAAAGCUCGACUUGUCGCAAAAGGUUGUCGACAAGUUCAAGGGAUUGACUACGAUGAGACCUUCUCACCCGUAGCGAUGGUUAAGUCUGUCCGAAUCAUGUUAGCAAUUGCCGCAUUUUAUGAUUAUGAAAUUUGGCAGAUGGAUGUCAAAACUGCAUUCCUGAAUGGAUUUCUGGAAGAAGAGUUGUAUAUGAUGCAGCCGGAAGGUUUUGUCGAUCCAAAGGGAGCUAACAAAGUGUGCAAGCUCCAGCGAUCCAUUUAUGGACUGGUGCAAGCCUCUCGGAGUUGGAAUAAACGCUUUGAUAGUGUGAUCAAAGCAUUUGGUUUUGUACAGACUUUUGGAGAAGCCUGUAUUUACAAGAAAGUGAGUGGGAGCUCUGUAGCAUUUCUGAUAUUAUAUGUAGAUGACAUAUUACUAAUCGGAAAUGAUAUAGAAUUUCUGGAUAGCAUAAAGGGAUACUUGAAUAAGAGUUUUUCAAUGAAAGACCUCGGUGAAGCUGCUUACAUAUUAGGCAUUAAGAUCUAUAGAGAUAGAUCAAGACGCUUAAUUGGACUUUCACAAAGCACAUACCUUGACAAAGUUUUGAAAAAGUUCAAAGUGGAUCAAGCAAAGAAAGGAUUCUUGCCUGUGUUACAAGGUGUGAAAUUGAGUAAGACUCAAUGCCCGACCAAUACAGAAGAUAGAGAGAAAAUGAAAGAUGUUCCCUAUGCUUCGGCCAUAGGCUCUAUCAUGUAUGCAAUGCUGUGUACCAGACCUGAUGUGUGUCUUGCUAUAAGUCUAGCAGGGAGGUACCAAAGUAAUCCAGGAGUGGAUCACUGGACAGUGGUCAAGAACAUCCUGAAAUACCUGAAAAGGACUAAGGAUAUGUUUCUCAUAUAUGGAGGUGAAAAAGAGCUCGUCGUAAAUGAUUACAUUGAUGCAAGCUUUGACACUGAUCCGGACGAUUCUAAGUCGCAAACCGGAUACGUAUUUACAUUAAAUGGUGGAGCUGUCAGUUGGUGCAGUUCUAAACAAACCGUUGUGGCAGGAUCUACAUUUGAAGCGGAGUACAUAGCUGCUUCAGAAGCAGCAAACGAAGGAGUCUGGAUGAAGGAGUUCAUAUCCGAUCUAGGUGUCAUACCUAGUGCAUCGGGUCGACUGAAAAUCUUUUGUGACAAUACUGGUGCAAUUGCCUUGGCAAAGGAAUCCAGAUUUCACAAGAGAACCAAGUACAUCAAGAGAUGCUUCAAUUCCAUCCGGGAUCUAGUCCAGGUGGGAGACAUAGAGAUUUGCAAGAUACAUACGGAUCUGAAUGUUGCAGACCCAUUGACUAAGCCUCUUCCACGAGCAAAACAUGAUCAGCACCAAAGCUCCAUGGGUGUUAGAAUCAUUACUGUGUAAUCUAGAUUAUUGACUCUAGUGCAAGUGGAAGACUGAAGGAAAUAUGCCCUAGAGGCAAUAAUAAAGUUAUUAUUUAUUUCCUUAUUUCAUGAUAAAUGUUUAUUAUUCAUGCUAGAAUUGUAUUAACCGGAAACAUAAUACAUGUGUGAAUACAUAGACAAACAGAGUGUCACUAGUAUGCCUCUACUUGACUAGCUCGUUAAUCAAAGAUGGUUAUGUUUCCUAACCAUAGACAAAGAGUUGUUAUUUGAUUAACGGGAUCACAUCAUUAGGAGAAUGGUGUGAUUGACUUGACCCAUUCCGUUAGCUUAGCACUCGAUCGUUUAGUAUGUUGCUAUUGCUUUCUUCAUGACUUAUACAUGUUCCUAUGACUAUGAGAUUAUGCAACUCCCGUUUACCGGAGGAACACUUUGUGUGCUACCAAACGUCACAACGUAACUGGGUGAUUAUAAAGGAGCUCUACAGGUGUCUCCAAAGGUACAUGUUGGGUUGGCGUAUUUCGAGAUUAGAAUUUGUCACUCCGAUUGUCGGAGAGGUAUCUCUGGGCCCUCUCGGUAAUGCACAUCACCUAAGCCUUGCAAGCAAUGCAACUAAAUGAGUUAGUUGCAAGAUGAUGUAUUACGGAACGAGUAAAGAGACUUGGCGAUAACGAGAUUGAACUAGGUAUUGAUAUACCGACGAUCGAAUCUCGGGCAAGUAACAUACCGAUGACAAAGGGAACAACAUAUGUUGUUAUGCGGUCUGACCGAUAAAGAUCUUCGUAGAAUAUGUGGGAGCCAAUAUGAGCAUCCAGGUUCCGCUAUUGGUUAUUGACCGGAGACAUGUCUCGGUCAUGUCUACAUUGUUCUCAAACCCGUAGGGUCCGCACGCUUAAGGUUUCGAUGACAGUUAUAUUAUGAGUUUAUGAGUUUUGAUGUACCGAAGUUGGUUCGGAGUCCCGGAUAUGAUCGCGGACAUAAUGAGGAGUCUCGAAAUGGUCGAGACAUAAAGAUUGAUAUAUUGGACGGCUAUAUUCGGACACCGGAAGUGUUUCGGGGAAGUUUCGGAUAAAACCGGAGUACCGGGGGGUUACUGGAACCCCCGGGGGGUUAAUGGGCCUCAUGGGCCUAAAGUGGAGAAGAGGAGGGGCUGCCAGGGCAGGCCGCGCACCCCCUCUCCCCCUAGUCCAAAUUGGACAAGGAGGGAGGGGCGGCGCCCCCCCUUCCUUCCUCUCCUCUCUCCCUUCCUUCCCCCUCUCCUACUUGGACAAGGAAAGGGAGGGGAGUCCUACUCCCGGUAGGAGUAGGACUCCUCCUGCGCGCCUCCUACUAGGGCCGGCCGCACCCCCCUUGGCUCCUUUAUAUACGGAGGCAGGGGGCACCCCUAGACACACAAGUUGAUCCACGUGAUCGUUUUCUUAGCCGUGUGCGGUGCCCCCUUUCACCAUAAUCCUCGAUAAUACUGUAGUGGUGCUUAUGCGAAGCCCUGCGAUAGUUGAACAUCAAGAUCGUCACCACGCCGUCGUGCUGACGGAACUCUUCCCCGACACUUUGCUGGAUCAGAGUCCGGGGAUCGUCAUUGAGCUGAACGUGUGCUGAAACUCGGAGGUGCCAUAGUUUCGGUGCUUGGAUCGGUCGGAUCGUGAAGACGUACGACUACAUCAACCGCGUUGAUAUAACGCUUCCGCUGUCGGUCUACAAGGGUACGUAGAUCACACUCUCCCCUCGUUGCUAUGCAUCACUAUGAUCUUGCGUGUGCGUAGGAAUUUUUUUGAAAUUACUACGUUCCCCAACAUAAGACGCCACCAAGCAGAGCCUUUGUGGCUGGCAUCGGUGUCGGGGCUUUCUUGUCCACCUAUAGUUUUGAUCUGCAAUGGCUUGGGACGCGGCGGUGUGGCACUCGGUGCGGCAAUGGUUGUGAGGUGACAGUUGGUACACGAGGUUGGGCAACAAGCAGGCCGGGCCCAAACCUAGUAGUCCACUGGCAACAGGAGCCACAUUGGCGGCCGGGAGUUCGCCGUCACGCAAUUGCGACUUAGGUUUUCGAUCAUUGAUGAUGACGAUUGUGGCUCCCAUAGUGGUACGAGCUACAUUCUUCGAUGUCUCUUGUAACACAACAUUGUUCCUAUUAGUUCAACAAUGUGGUGACCUCUCUGCCCGAAGGCAUGUGCAAUAUCGUGCAUGGUUCUAGCCAAGAGCACACCUAUCAGCAAUUUUUUUAGCACGACCCCCUAGUUCCCCCGUCUCCUGCAAGCACGGUUUGCUAGGUCAUGAUAAGUUAUCAAGAUCAAAAUUGGAUCAUGCACCCGGUGGUCCUUAUGUGUUCCUCAACAUCGUAUCCGAGAUUUUAAUAGAUAAUUUAGAAAUGGAUGGCUGCCCUGGGAUGUUUGGUAUCUGGUGUGAAUCUAUGAGUAUAACGUUGCAUCAACCUUCGGUGAAAACCUAGACCUAGGAUUCUAGUGAUGCGUGCGUCUUUGGGCAUCACUCUCUCCUUUCUUGAGAGGGGUCCUAUUGAGGUUCUAGAAAAGCUGCCACUUUGGGUCCUUUUCGCGUGGGGGAGGGGGUAAAAACCUAUGAACUACUUAUGGCAGUUCAGGCAACGCCGGUAGAUGCGUCAAUUCGUAUCUUCAUUUCUUCAUUGGAGGCAUCGUUCCGGAACGUGCGAAUUUGCCAUGAUUCUAAGAGGGGUGUAGGUCGUGCCUCCAUCGAAGACAAUUGUUAUAAAUCUCUUGUGUUGGUCCACGUGUGACCGUGUGCAUUCUCCGUGCCUUGUCAUCGUGUUGUUGCUGAAUCCCGUGUGACGUUUUGAUAAUCUCGUCAUUUCAAAAAACAAAAAAAAUAGACCAAUGAGAACCCUGGAAAUUUCCCCCAAUUGUACUUGCAUGGAUGAAGCAGGUAGUAGCUGUGGAAGCAUCAAGAGCAUUGUAAAAUUGAAGCAUACCCCUUAUUGUGUUUAUUAGGAUGAUCAACAUUUGCAGUCAGAAAAAUAUAGAAUAUGUAAUGUAAUUAUCACCAACACAAACCGCACCCCCCUCACUUGGUUCGAAAGAUCAACCGAUCACCCAUGCAUUCAUCCCGAAAUCCGCCGAAAACAAGAAGAUGAUCAAAUGCACGUACGCCCACGACGCCACACCACACGACGGAUGCAGCCCUUCAUCACCACUAGCAUAGCAGACAGCUUCUUCCUCCUACGCACGACGUAUCACGUAUGUAUGUACUGUAUGUAGCUUCCUUGCUCAAGAUUUAGAGUAGGAUUGCAUUGGGGGAGGCUCGGGCAGGGGCUGGUGGACGGAGAAGGAGUUGGAGCGGGACACGGGCCGGGAGUAGCUGGGCCGGCGGAAGGCGCCGAAGGUCAUCUCGUCCGCGGCGUCGGCGGCCGCGUCGGGGUCGGCGGCCUCGGCGUCCCUCUCGCCGGGGAUCUUGCACUUGCCGCCGAGGAUGAUGGACUUCUUCCACAGCGUGUCCUCGGGGUCGUCCUUCUCCUUGUGGCGCGGCUCCAGCUUGCUCAGCUUCAUCUUGUCCGGGAUGUUGGCGAGGCUCUUGCCCACUUUCAUGGACAUGCUCUUGCCCACGCCCAUGGACAUGGACACGGACAGCUUCCGCCGCGACGCCGUCUUCGGCAGCAGCGGCGGCUCGAUCGGCCCGUGCGUGGCCAGCUCCGGCGGCAGCGUCACCACCUCCUCCUCCCCUUCCGCGCCGCCCUGGCUCCCGGAGGCGUCGGAGGCCUGGGCGUCCGCGGCGGGCUCCUGGCUGACCGCCUUGGGCUUGCGGCCGCACGCCGAGCACAUGGUCGAGGCGAUCGCCACGGUGGCCGCGACGCACGCCACCAACAGGGAGAGCGAGACGGGGUCGUGGCCGCCCAGAGAGGGGAAGGGGAAAAGCUCGAGGUCCCGCGGCGGCGGCGGCGACCACCUCACCAUCGUCGUCCCCGGCGGGGCGAGGAGAGGCUUGCUCGGGGGUGUGGACGAGCUCCUCCUCCUCCUCCGCCCGAGAGAGGCUGCUGCUCGUCGGAGGCGUCCUCUCUUUCCCGCGGGGAGCAAAGCCUCCCGUUUCCAAAUUGGGAAGAAGGGCUGUGUGGCCGAGGGAUUGUACUGGUUUGCCUCUUAAACUGGGCAAAACUAAUUUUAGAGAUAAAAACACAACCCAAACAUGUUUGAGAAAAAUAGGGCUUGCACCGGUGUAAUCUAUUUUAUCAACUUAGCCAUAAUUAUAGGCAAGUACACAACUUACCACACUACUGGAGAAAUUGUGGUGGUUACCGAGUUUUUUCAUGUUUGCCGAGUACGGAUCUCGGCGGGAUCGCGGCAAAUGAUAUGUAAGCCGAGUACGGAUCUCGACAGACAGAAUGGCACAUCACAUGGUAAACUAAAUUAGAGUAUUAGACACUAGGACCGAGAAUGUUGAGUGCCGAGUUACUCUCGUCACAUAGCCUGAUUGAUGGGAGUGCACGAAAUUUAUUGGGUCAAGAGUUUAUGAAUUUACUACUCCAUCCGUCCCAUAAUAUAAUUAAAAACACUUUUGGCACUAGUAUAGUGUUAAAACGUUCUUUUAUAUUUUGAGACAGAGGAAGUAGUUGAAACUAGGCUUUGUCCUGUCAUCCUCAACAGAUGUACGGCCUCUCUUCCAAAUUAAUUUCGAGUUUAUCCUACAAACUUGUAUUGGUUUGAUCAAGUCCAUAGAAACAUCUAGAACCAAAUUAGUACUAUGAGAUUUCUUUUAUUAAAUAUGUUUUCAUCAUAGAGUUGGUCGAACCUAAGCAAGUUUGAUUUAGAACAAACCUAGAAUUUCGAUUAUUUUGGAACGGAGGGAAUAUGCACCUCUUUUGCUCUCUUCGAGUCCGAGGUAGCCAAGUGGAAUAUCAUUAUGGCGCUAACAAGGAGCAGUAUUAGAAGCUAUAAGAUUAAUCUCUAUCGCACGAUCCUUCAACCUCUUCUAGCUCCUUUGACAAGGCAAAACGGGCUUCACCUUCAGUUACUGGAUUCAUAAUUAUUUUGGUGACAUAAUUAUUUUGGUGCCCACUUGCCAAAACAAGAAAUACACGCACAACCUGAGGUGCCGCCUCAUUUUCAGAUAUGUCUUACAACGGAUCGGCAAAGAGCAUGCACAUAAUUUGGAUUUCCUUCCAUUAUUUGACGAAUAUAAUAAAAAAAGACAGGCAUAUCAGCCUAUAGAAGUAUAGAUGGAUCAUCUACGCGUUGUGAUGUGAACUUCAAGCUUCAUUCCACCCUCACAGUCUCCAGGUUUGCUGCUGAUGGCGUACAUCGGGCCUUGGCUACCGAGCUCGAGCUUGUCGUAGCCAGAGGUAUAUGUAUCGUCCCCGACAGCACCGGCCCUGCAGAGGAACUCCUCAUCUUUAUUCACCACCACCACGUUAUGCAUCUUGGGAUUAUACUUGAACACUGCAUCAAUGGGAACACGGUCAGUUCCAUACACUCCUUAUUGCUUAGCAUUAAACCAGGGCCUAGUAAUUAAAGAACAAGCUUAUGGAUCUUAUAACAAGGGCCUAUUGAUUAGUGUGUCAUGUGCUCUAAUAAUGCAUCGUUCGUCUGACAAUUUCUCCCGUGACUAAAAUUUCAAAUUACGCAGUGAUCUAGAACAAGAUCGAUAUCUCAUGGCUAGGACUCCAGAUGCUAUGGCGAUACAAAUUAUUUCCAUCACGUGAAACGUAUAUAAUAUAACAUUUCAUACUUUGAAACAAACAUUCAUGUGCAUCAGAACUAACGAUUAUCUACCAUACCCACCAAGCACGUCACCAGGGUAGAAGGUCUUGUUCCUCUCCCAGCCAUGAACACCAAAGGUCCACCCCUUCCAACCUCCGACUAUCCACUCCGUCUUGCUAAAACCACUGGUUGCGAAGCACAGGGUUAGCACCAACCCAAGAGCAACGGCGCCACUGCUGCUCAUGCUUCUACCUAGUGCCAUUGCCGCUUUUUUCACUACUAAAGCUCACAACUGAUUUUGAUUUGCGUUGGUGGGGAAGGGAAACCCACCAUUUAAAGGCUCCUGGUCAAGGUUCAGUGUCACUCAUGCAAUAUUUGAAAUUAACCACUCCCUCCGUUCCAAAUUACUCGUCGCAGAAAUGAAUGUAUCUAGAUACAUCCAUAUCUGUGACAAGUAAUUCAGAACGGAGGGAGUACUAAUUAAGAAGUAAAGACAUUUACUUCUGAUUUGUUCCAAGAUACAAGAGCUAGUAUAUAUCUAGGAAAAUCUGCAUUUAAUUUUCUGCGCAUUUAAUUUUUAUAUUUCAAGAUCAUAUAUACUCCAGUAAAUGUGAGUGAGUAAUAUUUCAAGAGUAUAAUUUUUAAGAUAUAUACAAAGUAAAUGUAAGAUAUUUUAUUAUUUCUAGUAAAUGCGAGUGAGUAAAUUUCAUAUUCAACCACACCUCUCCUUUUGUGAGGUCCAUUUACUAUGAGAUAUGUUUAAAAAAAUGUUAUUUCGAAUUGUUUUCUCUUAUUGCAUUAGAUAUAUUGAGUAAUUCCAAGGGAUGGAAAGAUUAGGCUAUACACCUUCAAAGAUAAAUUUAAUCCUUUUAACAGGCUACACGUAUAAAUAGUCUCGUAUUGUAGUUUGCAACUGUGGUCAAAAGGAAGAUCAAGGACGCCUCUCGUUUUCCUCCCCUAACCUUAGGCGGCUAGCGCAAACUCUCCCCACCAAGCUUCACUGGCGAGCCCGUGGAUUCGCCUUCCCUCUGUCUGCCACUCCGGUGGCCAAUGGCGGGAAGGGAAUCCCGGUGCCUCCGCUCCGGUUAGUAGUUUAGGUUAGGUUUUUUUAGUCCUCACAUGUGCGACUCUCGGGCGAAUGUUGGCGCUUCUUCCUUGAGUUUGUCUUCCAGCCUUCGAUCCUCCUCGCGUUCGUCCGGCUAGAUGUAGUCGACGAAGCUCGGACGUAGAUUCCUGACGUCUCCUUGGGAGACUGGGGUUAGGGUUUCUUGUCAUAUGACGAGAUUUGAUGUCAGAUGCUUCAGAUCUAUGCAAGGGUUUAACAACGACGAUUGUGGCUCUAGGGCGCUUGUCCUUAGGGGCACGUGCACGAUGACUUCCCAGUUGUCAUCAAUAAAAUCAAGCCGGCUUUGGUAGGGGAGCGCCGACAAGAUUGCGUCAAGUACUCGUUUAGACUGUAAUAGUGGUCGUUUGGUGAUCUCAGAAUCUCGAUGUAAACUCAUAAAAAAAGAUGAUAAAACAUGAUGGCUAUAUCUCGCAUUCAGCGAGACGGUAGAUAUCUUGCUGAAGCGGCUACGGUAAUCUGGCCGGCCCAUUGGCGCACAGUUAAAGAAAAAAGCAAGGGAAAGGGGAAUAUCCUAUUUGACGCAUUUUGCGUCAAACUGUCGACGCGCCGCACACCCCUUCGCCUGAUUUGGGCCGGCCUUUUUAGUACCUGUUCGUUGUUUCCCCGUUCCUCUUCCUCGAGUCAUUGUUUCCCCGUUCCUCUUCCUCGUCCCGCAUCUCCCGUCUUCUUCCUCCCUCGUCCCGCAUCCGCCGUGCUCUUCCUCCCUCGUCCCGCAUCCCACUUCCUCCCUCUUCGUCUGCUUUUUCCUGCGGGGAUCCCGCUCCGAUAAGAGGCCGCCGCCCUGGUAAGCAGCCGACGGACCUCUUUCCCGUCGAAUCGUCCGAGGCAUCGUCGAUUAGAUCUGGCGGACGUCAUCAUGAUGGAUGCUUUUUUGCAGGUGGUCACUGCUUCCUCGUCGGCGUCGGCGUCGUCUAGGGUUCCAUCAAGAUCGGGUCGUCUAGGGUUCCAUCGAUCUUCGUCAAGUUCGUCAUCUUCAAGGUAAUGCCCCCAGUUCCCUCUUCUGUGUUCUUGUCAAGCUGGUUCGUGUCCUCUGUGUGUGAUUUCGCCAGAUCGAGACGUUUUUUUCCCGUUUGUGUCGGUCCAGCGUUUCUAGGGUUUGUAGGAGGUUUGGUGGUAGCAGUGGAGCGAUUUUUUCAGUCUGAUUUGGGUGAAUAUGAGGCUAGACAAGGUCCCUUUGGAGCGAUUUUUUCAGUUUGGUUUCCCGGAUGUGAUUCAGAAUUUGGAAUCAGGUUAUGAAUGCAGCAUAAUGAUGGUAGGAGGUUGUCUGUUUCAUGCGGUUGCCCUUGGAAAUUUUGUGUUUGUGUUUAUGUUGAUGAUGAUAGGACACUUGUUAGUUUCUGUAAUGUGUAAAUUUGUUUGAACAUUGUGUGUUCACUCAAAUGAUUGUUCUUGUACUACAUCACAUCUAAAUUUUAUAACAUCAAUUUUUUUUGAACUUUUUGACAUGGAUGAACAUUUUCUGAAAUUGAGGAUCAAAAAAUGUUCGCCAAUUUGAAAAAGUGUUCUAGAAAAAUUCAGAAAAUAAAAUAAUGUGAAUUGUUUAGAAAAUUUAGAAAAACAAGGAAACAGAAGAGGAAGAAAAUAAAAUUUAGAAAAUAAAUUUUAGAAAAAUUGGGUGUUAGGACUACAUAUCCUUCUUGCAUUGGAAUUAGUCCUUCAUCACUUCUGCUUUCUUGGCAAUCAGUUGGCAUCUUCUGCUUUUUGUGUAUAAUGUAACUAUGAGUGAUACUAUGUACUUCUCUUUUGUUUUGCAGAAUUAAUUUUUGUUUCAGCAGCUUACAUUUACAUGAACUGUUUUUUUAUACCUGAAAUUUCAGCACCUUACUUUUUAUUAUUUUUAUACAGCUCUCACUCAACUGUCAAAAUGCCUAAACUUUACAAAUACCCUCCGGGUAGUAUCAAACACAGAUUCUCUACCAUUAGGUGGCGUAAGGCAGUUGUUGAUUUAACUGAUAUCCAGAAGUCAUAUGUUACGAAAUAUGAGCUUGAUCAUCUCCUGAACAUUCACCCUCAUUUAAUGAUUCCAAUUCCAGUACUGCAAUGGGUUGCGAACCACUUAAAUUGUAAUGGAACAGGAGUUUUCAGGAAGGGUCAAAAGAUAAUUCAUCUGAGAAGGGAAAUGGUAAUUCAAGUUUUUGGUAUUCGUUCUAGUUCUGUGCCUUUUCCUAUGGACAACACAGAUCAAGUUAUCGUGGCUAGAGUAUUAGAACUUAGGUCUGAGUAUCUUGGUGCUGGGGAGAAGAACAUUUCAUUUGAUAACAUAAUCACCAAGAUGAAAAAUGAUGAGACUGAGGAAGGCUUCAUACGGAGCUUCAUGUUUCUGUUCAUAACAUCUGUUUUAUGUCCAACCACUCGGAACUAUGCAAACUGGAAACUUCUUUAUGGGCUGGAUGGCAUUACCAAGCUGAAGACCUUUGAUUUGGCUCAGUUGUGCAUUGAUCACCUGAACAAUGAAAUUGAUAACUUCAGCACUAAACUCUUCAAUAGAACUGAAGUUCCAUUGAAUGAUUCAAUCUAUGUUGGUGGAUGUUUACCGUUGGCUGCUGUAAGUUUUCUUUUCUCUGUCAUUUUCAAUUUUUUACAUAGACUUUAGUUCUGCAAUCUUUUUUUUAUAGUCACUGAUUACCUCUUAUAUCUUCUCUUAUGAUUCACAACCUUCCUAGAUUGUGUAUCUGGACUUUGUAGACUUCACAAAAGCUUCUAAACAAUGAAACAUCAAUUAUGGAGUCCCUAGAAUUGCACAUGUUCAGAAUGAAGACUUUGACUAUCUAGCUACAGUGGAUCUGAACAGAGCUUCCAAGAAGAGUUUUGCAUUGGGUUUCUUACCAGUAAGCUUCUUGUAUAAAUUUGUUGUUGUUCAUUUUUCAAGUUAGCAAAAAGUUUUUUCUUCUACAAGCAAUCUAGAAGGAGCAAAUCUUGUCAUUUAUAAUCCUUUUCAAUUGCAAUUUUUUGUGCAGUUGAAAGACAUCUCUAGGACACCUUACAGUGCUCGUGCAAUUGUAUUGGCUGAGGAGAAGUGGUCCAAAGCACCAGAGUCUUUUCAUAAUGAUGAAAAUGACAUUCCAAACCAAAAUGACAGAGAAAAUGUUGCAUCUACUUCGAACAACAAUCCAGAAGUAUGUUGGCCUGCUUUUUUUCUUUUCUUAAUAGAUAUUAGUGUUGUCACUUUACUUUCAUACCAGAAACUAAUACACAUAUAUUUGUUCUGUUUGCUCAAACUAAUAGGUUAUGAAGACAGUCUCUGAAAUAGUUGCAAAACAUGAUGUCAUUUGGAAGAAGUUCCAUGAAGAGCAUGUACAGAGUAUGCUAGCAGAACUCAAAGCAACUGUCCUGUCUUUACAGCAAAAUUCUAGCAGCCAAGUCAAUGAUGCUGGCACUUCAACCACGAAUCCAAUUGUUCUUCUAUCUGGAGCCAGCAACAGAAAUGUUCUUAGAGAACCAUUAAAUCCUGGCAAUUGCACACUCCAAGUUAACAGUGAGGCAAUUACAGGUUCUUUAUUUGACGACCAUAUCAGAGUCAUUCCUACUCCAGUUGUUACCAAUGAUAACCAAGUUCAAAUUUCUGAUGAAGUUCAAAAGCAAGUGUCAUUACCUCAGCAAUUCCAGGAAAAUGAGCAAGCACAAACAGAUGUGGACAAUGAUAUUCAUUCUGAUAACACAUUUGGUCAACAUUUUUUCUUUUACUCAAACUAGUCAUAGCACUCAAUUUGUUGUUCAUGAGGCAGUUUUAUUAGUACUCAGUUUCCUGUUCCUGACAUCACUAUUAUGGUAAAUACAUUCAUUCUGUAAACACAUUCUGACAUCACUAUUUUUUGCCAUUUUCAGGUACCGUUUCUGAGGCAGUUCAUACUAAAUCAACUGGAUUCCUGGAACCACUGGAUUCUGUUCAUCCUACAAGUGUUACUGAAGCAAAUCAGAUAGAUUCUCAAAAUGUCAACUCUGUGACAGUAAAUCUGCAGGAAACUCCUCUUACUGGAAACUCAUUUUCUGUGAGAGAAAAUGUUCAGUUACUGAAUGAGCAAAAGCCAGGUGAUGUUAGACCUGCCAGUCAGACACCAAACAAUGAAUCAUCUUCCUGUCCCAUCUCUCCUUUUCUAGUUCAGAACAAUCCUAGUCUCGAGAUCAUAUUGUCUCCUUCGAGCAACAUUAUAAUUGAAGAUGCCUCCACGCCAACAAAUCUGAAUUCACAAUCAAUUGACAAUGUUGCAACUGGCAUUGAAAUUGCCAUGAAGUAUGGAGAUGAUUUAUUAGUCGAAGAAGUUGUCAAGUCUGUUCCCAAAGGUAACUCAAAACAUUUUUUUAUCAUCUCCCCAUCCUGCUGUUCCAUUGUUUUGCUUUUUGCUUCACUGAUUUUGUUCUUGCAAUGCCCUGUCUUUUUUUAUAUGUUUCAUUGUGUUGUCAGCACAAUACUUAUUAUAUGCAACUGCUUAAUUGGACAGAUCCUCUAGUACCUGAGAAGCAGUCAUCUGAUGUUACACUAAACAUGUCUGGUCCAAGCACAAUAGAGAAGAGAAAUAGAAAGAAAAGGAAAGCAAAAAGUAAUAUCUCCUCAGGAAAAGAUUUCAAAGAUGAUUGUUGAACCUCAUGUUCAGGAGUUCUAUAAGAAAUACCUUGCAAACAAAUUCUUCAAUAAUGGCAAUAAGUAAGUCAUUUCAAUGUGCAAACUAAUUUUUUCAAUAUCAUGCAUUCUUCUUUUUUGUACAAUUUGUUCAAUAAGCGUUUCUAUUCUUUUUUAUCGUGCAGUCCAACUGUUAUUGAUAUCAAUGGCUUUCCUGUGGAGUAUGAUAAUUUCUAUAAUUCAUUAAAGGCAAUAGGAAAUGUUGAUAAUGAAGUAUUCAAUGCCUAUGUCCAAGUUUUCAAUUAUGAGAAUGAAAAUCCAGACCCAAAUAGCAAGAACCCUUCAAAAUAUUGCUUUAAUAGCUAUUUCACGGUAAUUCUCUAUUCCUCAUCUAUGUUUCUUUUUGUUCACGAUACACUCAUGGAAGUUAUGUUUCUUGGUGUUAUGAUCUGUUUUUUAAUUUAACUUUGCAGCAAAAGGUGCUUGUAGACCCCAAAAUCUUCAAUUCUCGGUCUUGCCUAAGAGAAUUCAAGAAAAUUACCUCUGGAAAGAACUUGCAUAAGCGUGAUCUGGUAAACAACUUUUAUCAUCACAAUUAUUUCUCUUUUUUUUGCAUUCUAUCUCAUCUUAUCUGUUUUUUCUACUUUUUUUUGCCAUCCAGCUAUACUUCCCCAGAGUUGACUCAUUCCACUGGUCUUUGUUCUGCGUCAACAAUUUGUUUGAAACUAUCAAUUUCUUUGAUUCAAGAUCUUCUGUUCCUCAAAAUCUUGUCAACAAGUUAACGUCAAACCUGGUUUGUUUUCUUCCUUUACUUUUAACUUCUUUCGCUUUGUAACAUAAUCUGUUUUUACUGCUAACUGCCCUGUAAGCUUCUGUAUGUUUAGGCAUUCAACAAAAAUUAAGUACCCUUUUCUUAUUGAAGUUCUGUGGUUGUUGAACUCUACUACUUUUCAAUAUAGAUCAUCAACAUGGCUACCCUCUUCAAAUCUUCUGGGUACACAUACAAAAACAUCGAAAAUUUUGAGUGCAUUUCUCUUGAGGACUACCCCCAGCAAAACAACCUGUGAGUAAAACAAAAGCAUCAUUGUAGAGAAUCCACUCUUUUCUGUUAAACUCUUUUAUUCACUUGAAUUUUUUUAAACAAGUUUCUUUUACUGAAUUUUAAAAUUCUUGUGCAGCCACAAUUGUGCUCUGUAUGCUAUCAUGUACAUGGAUAUCUGGGAUGGGAAGAACAUGAAGGAAUUUGAUGAUGUAUGUUGCCAUGAAAUUGUUCUUCCUCCAUACUUGCUCUAUGUUUAGUUUCCAGCACUUCUCUUUUGUCAUGCCUAAUGUGUUGUUCACCUUUUCAUUUGUAUCAGGAAAUUAUUCCUCAAUUUCGGUAGCUCGUUGCUUACAAAUUGGCAAAGUCUGACAUCAAUGAAGAAGACUUCGAGUGACUUCAAGAAGAUGUUUCAGGCAAGAAGAGGAAAAAGCGCCGUUAGUUCCGUGCAGAAAGAAAACACUUCCAGCUUCUAAAAUUGAUCUCUGUCCAAUUGCGCCAUGAAUGAAACAGAAGUAGUUGUAAAGUCAGUUGUCUCUUAUUUGAAAAACUUUUUAAGUACCGCUCUUUUCUCUUGUUGUGGAAAUAAGUCUUCCCCAGUAUGACCAGAAAACUACAAUUAUUAUGAGGAGAAUAUUCCCAACAAUUUAAAAUUUUCCUCUGGGUUUCGACUAAAUGAUUUUCCCAAUAGUUUAAUACAUUUAUCGGAAUCGUGUCACCAACAUCUCUUCUUUCAUAUAUGUGUUUGGUGCUCAUAGUUGUUUUCAAGUUUUUUGAUAUCUGGAUCAAACAUAAGUUUAUAGAAGGAAACACAAUGUGAUGAACAAAACAAUGCUGAUACAAUUUUUGGUCUUCCUUAGGACAGACUUCCCAAAGAACACUGAAGAAGUGUUCACUACAAUUUGAAUAAUGUUCUUUUUCCUGUUUUAAUAAUGUUAACAAAGAUUCACAAAAUUUGGUCCGCUUCUCGACCUCGUUCCUAGGAAAUUUUGUUCCAAGGAACAUUAUUCAAUUAUCAUUUUGUUCCUAGAAAUCUUUUUUGGCUUGAAGAACAUUUUUUUACUUCAGAAAACAUUAAGUAAUGUUGGAGAACUUUUUUAAUUUUUUUACUAAGAACAUUAUUUUAGGGAACAAUAUUCAGUGAACAUUUUUUAUUCAAAUUGUAGUGAACACUUCUCCAAAAUUAAAUUGGUCAACGAACGAACAAUAUUCAACAAACAUUAUUCAUUAUUCAACAAAUAUUAUUCAACGAACAAACAGUAUUCAACAAACAUUAUUCAAUUAUUAAAGAAAAUUUAUUUAGGCAACAUUCCUCCGCAUCAAACAAUAAAUGUAGUAAAAAAUUCCUAAAAAAGGGUGAACAAAAAAUUCCGCAUCAAACAAUAAUAUUCCUAGGAACGAACGAACGAAAUAAAUGUAGUAAAAAAUUUCCUCCAAGCAAAUUUUGUUCACCCUUUUGUUAGAAGGAACAUUAUUCGGUUAUCAUUUUUUUAUAGAAUAUUGAUUGUUCGCCUAAUAAUGUUCCUUCAAUAAUCUCCCCCAAAUAAAUGUUGAUUUUUCUUUUUGUUACCCUAUUUUCCCUAAUUAAUGUUCCUUCAAUAAUGUUCCUCAAAUAAUGUUCAAACUUUUUGGUUCCCCCAAUAAUGUUCUCUAAACAAUUUUAUUCCUUCAAUAAUGUUUCUCAAAUAAUGUACAAACUUUUUUGUUCCCCCAAUAAUGUUCUCUAAAUAAUUUUAUCUUUUAAUAAUGGUGCUCAAUUGUGUUCAAUAAUUGUUCUUUUAAGAAUGUUCCACAAAUAAUUUUCCCCAAACAAUGUUGAAAGUUUUUUUUUUCACAAUAAUGUUCUCUUAAUGUCCUCUAAUAAUGUUCCCAAGAUAAUGUUCAAACUUUUUGUCCCCCUAAAAUGUUCCCUGAUUAUUGUUAUGUUCGGCAAGUAAUGUUCAAACUUUUUUGUUCCUCCAAUAAUGUUCUCCUAACAAUGUUCUCUAAUAAUGUUCCCAAGAUAAAGUUGACCAAAUAAUGUUAUGUGAAGUCCCUAAAUAAUUUUGUCUUUAAUAAUUGUGUUCAAUAAUUGUUCUUUUAAUACUGUUCCACAAAUAAUGUUCAAUUUUUUUCCCAAUGUUGUUCUAUACUAAUGUUCAAAUUUUUUUGUUCCUCCAAUAAUGUUCUCUGAACAAUGUUCUCUAAUAAUGUUCCCACGACAAAUAAAUUUGUCUUUAAUAAUUAUGUUAAAAAAUUGUUCUUUUAAUAUUGUUCCACAAAUAAUGUUCCCCAAAUAAUGUUCUAUUUUUUUCAAAUAAUGUCCUCUUGUUCUCUAAUAAUGUUCAAACUUUUUUGUUCCCCCAAUAAUAUUCCCAAAUUAAUGUUUGUCUUUUAAUGUUCCUCAAAUAAUUAUUAAUUCUAACAAUUUUUUUUUACUUGAAGAACAUUUUUAAACUUCAAAGAAUUUAUAAGGAACAAAUUACUGAUUUUCUUGGAACAUUAUUCAGGAAAUAUUAUACAAAGAACAUUUUUAUAUUGAAGAGUUUGAACAUUGUUGACCUGAUUAUCAUUAUAGUAGAAACAUCCCUCCAAGGAAAUUUUGUUGACCCGAACAAUAAAUUCAGUGUUCCCAAAGAACACUGAAGAAGUGUUUACUACAAUUUGAAUAAUGUUCUUUUUCCUGUUUUAAUAAUGUUAACAAAGAUUCACAAAAUUUGGUCCGCUUCUCGAUCUCGUUCCUAGGAAAUUUUGUUCCAAGGAACAUUAUUCAAUUAUCAUUUUGUUCCUAGAAAUCUUUUUUGGCUUGAAGAACAUUUUUUUACUUCAGAGAACAUUAAGUAAUGUUGGAGAACUUUUUUAAUUUUUUUACUAAGAACAUUAUUUUAGGGAACAAUAUUCAGUGAACAUUUUUUUAUUAAAAUUGUAGUGAACACUUCUGCAAAAUUAAAUUGGUCAACGAACGAACAGUAUUCAACAAACAUUAUUCAUUAUUCAACAAACAUUAUUCAACGAAUGAACAGUAUUCAACAAACAUUAUUCAAUUAUUAAAGAAAAUUUAUUUAGGCAACAUUCCUCCGCAUUAAACAAUAAAUGUAGUAAAAAAUUCCUAAAAAAGGGUGAACAAAAAAUUCCACAUCAAACAAUAAUAUUCCUAGGAACGAACGAACAAAAUAAAUGUAGUAAAAAAUUUCCUCCAAGCAAAUUUUGUUCACCCUUUUGUUAGAAGGAACAUUAUUCGGUUAUCAUUUUUUUAUAGAAUAUUGAUUGUUCGCCUAAUAAUGUAAGCUCACCACUUUUUAUGAUAGUUUUAGAAGUACCAGUUGAGAAUAAAUGGAACCAGCAACCAUUGUUUAGUAAAUUCAAGGUUUUUCUGUUUCAUGUUUCUUUGGGAGACAGUUGAAACAGUGGAACAGUAGAAACUAUACCAUUCUUUAAUUUACUACCAUUGUUGAAACAGCAGAAAGAGAAGAAACAUAAGAAACAAUGGAACCAUUCUUUACUUUAUAACAGUAGAAACAAUGUAAAACAGCAGGGACAACAACCAGUGGAACAGCUUCGCGAAGCAGAAACAACGAAACACUUGAAACAGUUCAAAAACAGUUCACGCGCGCAAGCGGCCCACAAAGCCCGCCAGUCAGCUGCCCCUGUGCGAAGCCGCAACUAGUUGACGCAGAAUGCGUCACAUAGGAGUUCCCAGGGAAAGGAGAGCACGAGGGAUCAAUCCCUGGAGCUCCAGGAAGAUAGUGAGCGCUGCUAGCCACCGCGCCCACCUACUGUCCGUGUUAAGUAACGGGGCGCGGCCUACUUGAAGUGAGUCGAGCCUAUUUUAUUAUUAUUUUAUCUUUGUAUCUUUUUGUUUUCUUUCUAUCCAAGGUUUUCGUUUUCUUUAUUCUAGUUUCAUUGUUUCUUUGGUUUAUUUUAUUUCCUUUUUAGUUUUCUUUGUUUCUUUUGGUUUUCAUUCUAUAUCUUUUGUAUAUGUCAACAACAUUUUCCUAAUUCAUGUUUAACAUUUUUGCAAGACAAAUUUAAUUUUUUCAUACAUGGUCAACAUUUUUAUUUACAUUUUAAGAGCAUCUCUAGCAGUCCUCGUAAAACAAUGACCCGCAAAACUCGUUUAUAGUUAGCGAAAAAACAGUUUUGCGGGCCGUCGCGGGCUGCGGUCGAACAGACCCUGUGUACCCGACCCGUAAAACAACAUAUUUUACGGGUCGACUACCCGGGGUCAAUAUGUUGUUUUACGAGUCGGCUACGCGGGGUCUGCUCAGUCGCAGCCCGUGUUGGCCCGCAAACCGAAACCCCCAGAUUAGCCAAUUUGAUAGCGAAUUCGAUGAUUGAGUCCAAAUUCGAAGAAUAAAACAUAGUUCGUGCGCAAAUAAAAGCAUAGUUUUUUACGACAAACGUAAAAGGACUUCAUGCAAAAGCAACGACCACGUCCAUCAUCAUCUUGGUCGCUUUUUACCCAUCGUCAUGAUCUUCACUUCCCACCACCGCCAUCGAUGUCAUUGCCGCCUCCGAGUCUAUCACCGGCACUUGUUCCAACUCCGGCACCGAAAGCAUCGGCGCACUGAAAGCAUCAGUGACACUAGUUCCAACUCCUGAUGGGAAAACAUCACUAUUUCCAAAUCAGUCAUCACAACAACACACAUCUAAAUGCAUAUCAAAUGUUUUUUAAAAUACUCAUAUCUUAUAAACCGCAACUCCAAAUUUAUUAUGUUAUAUAUGGAAUUUGAUUAAUAGAAUAUAUAUAAUCUGAAUAUGAUGUUAUUCUACCUGUUAACCAUUAAAAAAAUACUAUCUAGGGUGCAAUCUUAAUCAAUAGUGCAUUAUCCGUCUUUCUUUCAUAUCGGUAUUGAUUCGGAUUGUGGAUGAACAUCUUAGCAAAAUCAGGAUUUAUGCAUUCUUAGUUCGUUAUGCUAUUAUAUAAAAAAACCCCUGAUGUUUCUGACAUUAAACCCGCAAUACAUAUUAAAUGUUUUUUUAAAAUACUCAUAUCUUCUAAACCGCAACUCCAAAUUUAUUAUGUUAUAUAUGAAAUUUGAUUAGGAAAAUAUAUAGAAUCUGAAUAUGAUGUUAUUUUACUUGUUAACCAUUUAAAGAAAUUACUAUCUGGGGUGCAAUCUUAAUCAAUAGUGCAUUAUCCGUCUUUCUUUCAUAUUGGUACUGAUUCGGACUAUGGAUGAACAUCUUAGCAAAAUCAGGAUUGAAGACGAAAUUGAAGAUCACUUGCCCGUUUCUUUGUACGUAUUAAAUCUACAUACAUGUCGUGUUGAAAUAGAAGACAUGUGAAAUCUUGAACUUGUGCUUUUGUAGGUAAAAACCAUCUUUGUUUGGACCGUAGCUACCAAUACUCAGAUGAUAGACCAUUUUUUGUAAAUUAAGAGCAUGUGGUAUUCUUUUCUCCCGUGGCAACGCACGGGCCCUUUUAGUAGCAGCUAUGAAGUGUUAUUAGACACUCUCUAAACUAGAUGAAGACUAGAAUGAGAUCAGGGCUUCAUAUGCGAUCAUGCGAUCUAGCACUUGGGCCAUCAGAUGGUUCUCGUACUGUACAGAUGAUGUGGUGGGCUUGGAUGACAAGUUAUACAUUCAGUCCCCUGGGCUCUCGUAAGGCUCUCGUAAUAUUGCAUUUAGCAGCUCUCUCACUUGAUUUUGUAGCUCAUGGAAUGUAGAAAAAUAUAUAAAAUACAAAUAAGAAACUCUCUCUCGCUAUAGAGAGGAAUAUCUCCAGGUGUGCCAUAUUUCCCAAUGCACUUUUCGAUAAAGGAUGGAUUUUAUAAACUCAAACUGAAGCAUCCAGUAGAUACAAAGCAUGAUGAACACACACGUGGCCUCUGCAUAGUGAUACGUCUCCAACGUAUGUAUAAUUUUUGGUUGCUCCAUGCUAUAUUAUCUACUGUUUUAGACAUUACUGGGCUUUAUUAUCCACUUUUAUAUUAUUUUUGGGACUAAUCUAUUAACCGGCGGCCCAUCCCAGAAUUGUUGUUUUUUUGCCUGUUUUAGGGUUUCGAAGAAAAGGAAUAUCAAACGAACUCCAAACGGAAUGAAACCUUCGGGAACGUGAUUUUCUCAACAGAUAAGACUCGGGAGACUUGGACCGUACGCCAAGACACGUAACAGGAGGGCACGAGGUAGGGGGGCGCGCCCGCCCCCACCAGGCGCGCCCUCCACCCUCGUGCCCCCUGUUGCUCCACCAACGUACUCCUUCCUCCUAUAUAUAUCCAUGUACCCCCAAACGAUCGGAACAGGAGCCAAAACCCUAAUUCCAUCGCCGUAACUUUCUGUAUCCAUGAGAUCCCAUCUUGGGGCCUGUUCCAGAGCUCCACCGGAGGGGGCAUCGAUCAUGGAGGGCUUCUGCAUCAACACCAUAGCCUCUCCGAUGAAGUGUGAGUAGUUCACCUUAGACCUACGGGUCCAUAGCUAGUAGCUAGUUGGCUUCUUCUCUCUUUUUGGAUCUCAAUACAAUGUUCUCCCCCUCUCUUGUGGAGAUCUAUUCGAUGUAAUCUUCUUUUUGCGGUGUGUUUGUUGAGACCGAUGAAUUGUGGGUUUAUGAUCAAGUCUAUCUAUGAAUAAUAUUUGAAUCUUCUCUGAAUUCUUUUAUGUAUGAUUGGUUAUCUUUGCAAGUCUCUUCGAAUUAUCAGUUUGGUUUGACCUACUAGAUUGAUCUUUCUUGCAAUGGGAGAAGUGCUUAGCUUUGGGUUCAAUCUUGCGGUGUCCUUUCCCGGUGAUAGUAAGGGCAGCAAGGCACGUAUUGUAUUGUUGCCAUCGAGGAUAACAAGAUGGGGUUUUCUUCAUAUUGCAUGAGUCUAUCCCUCUACAUCAUGUCAUCUUGCUUAAUGCGUUACUCUGUUUUUAACUUAAUACUCUAGAUGCAUGCUGGAUAGCGGUCGAUGAGUGGGGUAAUAGUAGUAGAUGCAGGCAGGAGUCGGUCUACUUGUCUCGGACGUGAUGCCUAUAUACAUGAUCAUACCUAGAUAUUCUCAUAACUAUGCUCAAUUCUGUCAAUUGCUCAACAGUAAUUUGUUCACCCACCGUAGAAUACUUAUGCUCUCGAGAGAAGCCACUAGUGAAACCUAUGGCCCCCGGGUCUAUCUUUAUCAUAUUGAUCUCCUACUACUUAGUUAUUUCCUUUGCUAUUUCCUUUGCCUUUAUUUUACUUUGCAUCUUUAUCAUAAAAAUACCAAAAAUAUUAUCUUAUCAUAUCUAGCAGAUCUCACUCUCGUAAGUGGCCCUAUAGGGAUUGACAACCCCUAUUUGCGUUGGCUGCGAGGAUUUAUUUGUUUUGUGCAGGUGCGAGGGACUCGCGCGUAGCCUCCUACUGGAUUGAUACCUUGGUUCUCAAAAACUAAGGGAAAUACUUACGCUACUUUGCUGCAUCAUCCCUUCCUCUUCAGGGAAAACCAACACAGUGCUCAAGAGGUAGCUAGAAGGAUUUCUGGCGCCGUUGCCGGGGAGGUCUACGCAAAAGUCAACAUACCAAGUACCCAUCACAUACCCUUAUCUCCCGCAUUACAUUAUUUGCCAUUUGCCUCUCGUUUUCCUCUCCCCCACUUCACCCAUGCCAUUUUAUUCGCCCUCUCUUUCUCUCUAUCCUCCCUCUCUUUCUCUAUUUGCCUCUUUUUGCCAGCUUGCUUUUUGUUUGUUUGUGUGUUAGUUUGCUUGCUUGUCACGAUGGCUCAAGAUAAUACUAAAUUGUGUGACUUCACCAAUACCAACAACAGUGAUUUUAUUAGCACUCCGAUUGCUCCUCUUACCGAUGCUGAAUCUUGUGAAAUUAAUGCUGCUUUGCUGAAUCUUGUCAUGAAAGAUCCGUUCUCCGGCCUUCCUAGUGAAGAUGCCGCUACCCAUCUAAGUAGCUUCGUUGAUUUGUGUGACAUGCAAAAGAAGAAAGAUGUGGAUAAUGAUAUUGUUAAAUUGAAGCUAUUUCCUUUUUCGCUUAGAGAUCAUGCUAAAGCUUGGUUUUCGUCUUUGCCUAAAAAUAGUAUUGAUUCAUGGAACAAGUGCAAAGAUGCUUUUAUCUCUAAGUAUUUUCCUCCCGCUAAGAUCAUCUCUCUUAGAAAUGAUAUUAUGAAUUUUAAGCAACUUGAUCAUGAACAUGUUGCACAAUCUUGGGAGAGAAUGAAAUUAAUGAUACGUAAUUGCCCUACUCAUGGUUUAAAUUUGUGGAUGAUUAUACAAAAUUUUUAUGCCGGAUUGAAUUUUGCUUCUAGAAAUCUUUUAGAUUCAGCCGCGGGAGGCGCUUUUAUGGAAAUCACUUUAGGAGAAGCUACUAAACUCCUAGAUAAUAUUAUGAUUAAUUAUUCUCAAUGGCAUACUGAAAGAUCUACUAAUAAAAAGGUGCAUGCGAUAGAAGAAAUUAAUGUUUUGAGUGGAAAGAUGGAUGAACUUAUAAAAUUAUUUGCUAAUAAGAGUGUUUCUUAUGAUCCUAAUGAUAUGCCCUUGUCUACUUUGAUUGAGAAUAAUAAUGAAUCUAUGGAUGUGAAUUUUGUUGGUAGGAACAAUUUUGGUAACAACGCGUAUAGAGGAAAUUUCAAUCCCAGGCCUUACCCUAGUAAUCCCUCUAAUAAUUAUGGUAAUUCCUACAACAAUUCUUAUGGAAAUUAUAAUAAGAUGCCCUCUGAUUUUGAAUCUAAUAUUAAAGAAUUUAUUACUUCGCAAAAGAAUUUUAAUGCUAUGAUUGAAGAAAAAUUGCUUAAGAUUGAUGAUUUGGCUAGGAACGUUGAUAGAAUUGCUCUUGAUGUUGAUUCUUUGAAACUUAGAUCUAUUCCACCUAAGCAUGAUAUCAAUGAGUCUCUCAAAGCCAUGAGAAUUUCCAUUGAUGAGUGCAAAGAAAGAACUGCUAGGAUGCGUGCUAAGAAAGAUGCCUUUAUAAGCGCGUGUUCUUCUAGUUCCUAUGAAAAUAAAGAUGAAGAUCUAAAAGUUUUUGAUGUGUACCCUAUUAAAUCUUUGUUUUGAAAUAUGAAUCUUGAUAAUGUUGGGACUGAAUAUGAUCCACCUUUACCUAGAAGGCGUUCCAAGAAUUCGGAAUUUGUUGAUCUUGAUGCUAAAUUUGAUAAAAGUGGGAUUGGAGAAAUUAAAACCCUAGAUGUUGCUAAACCCACUAUUAUGGAUUUCAAGGAAUUUAACUAUGAAAAUUGCUCUUUGAUUGAUUGUAUUUCCUUGUUGCAAUCCGUGCUAAAUUCUCCUCAUGCUUAUAGUCAAAAUAAAGCAUUUACUAAACAUAUCGUUGAUGCCUUGAUGCAAUCUUAUGAAGAAAAACUUGAAUUGGAAGUUUCUAUCCCUAGAAAACUUUAUGAUGAGUGGGAACCAACUAUUAGAAUUAAAAUUAAAGAUCAUGAAUGCUAUGCUUUAUGUGAUUUGGGUGCUAGUGUUUCCACGAUUCCAAAGACUUUGCGUGAUUUGUUAGGUUUCCGUGAUUUUGAUGAUUGCUCUCUAAACUUGCACCUUGCAAAUUCCACUAUUAAGAAACCUAUGGGAAGAAUUAAUGAUGUUCUUAUUGUUGCAAAUAUGAAUUAUGUGCCCGUAGAUUUUAUUGUUCUUGACAUAGAUUGCAAUCCUUCAUGUCCUAUUAUUCUUGGUAGACCUUUCCUUAGAACGAUUGGUGUAAUUAUUGAUAUGAAGGAAGGAAAUAUUAGAUUCCAAUUUCCAUUAAGGAAAGGCAUGGAACACUUUCCUAGAAAUAAAAUUAAAUUACCUUAUGAAUCUAUUAUGAUAUCCACUUAUGGAUUGCCUACCAAAGAUGGCAAUACCUAGAUCUAUUCUAGCUUGUUAUGCCUAGCUAGGGGCGUUAAAACGAUAGCGCCUGUUGGGAGGCAACCCAAUUUUAUUUUUAUUUCUUGCUUUUUGCUCCUGUUUAGUAAUAAACAAUUUAUUUAGCCUCUGUUUUGGUUGUGUUUUUUUGUUUAAUUAGUGUUUAUCCCAAGUAGAACCGUUGGGAAGACUUGGGGAAAGUCCUGUUCAAAAUUCCUCACGUCCAGCAAUUUAUUUUCGAAUUUUUGGGAAGUGCUAUUUAGUUAAUUAUUUUUGCAGAUGAUUAAUAGAUAAAUUCCUCACGUCCAGCAAUUUAUUUUCGAAUUUUUGGGGUUCCAGAUCUUGCGCUAGCUACAGAUUACUACAGACUGUUCUGUUUUUGACAGAUUCUGUUUUUCGUGUGUUGUUUGCUUAUUUUGAUGAAUCUAUGGCUAGUAAAAUAGUUUAUAAACCAUAGAGAAGUUGGAAUACAGUAGGUAUAACACCAAUAUAAAUAAAUAAUGAGUUCAUUACAGUACCUUGAAGUGAUCUUUUAUUUUCUUUCGCUAACGGAGCUCACGAGGUUUUCUACUUUAAGUUUUGUGUUGUGAAGUUUUCAAGAUUUGGGUAAAGAUUUGAUGGAUUAUGGAACAAGGAGUGGCAAGAGCCUAAGCUUGGGGGUUCCCAUGGCGCCCUCAAGAUAAUCUAAGGACACCUAAAAGCCAAAUCUUGGGGAUGCCCCGGAAGGUAUCCCCUCUUUCGUCUACUUCUAUCGGUAACUUUACUUGGAGCUAUAUUUUUAUUUACCACAUGAUAUGUGUAUUGCUUGAAGCGUCUUGUAUGAUUUGGGUCUUUGCUUUUUAGUUUACCACAAUAAUCCUUGAUGUACACACCUUUUGAGAGAGCCAUACAUGAUUUCGAAUUUGUUAGAAUACUCUAUGUGCUUCGCUUAUAUCUCUUGAGUUAUAUAAUUUUGCUCUAGUACUUCACUUAUAUCUUUCAGAGCACGGUGGUGGAUUUGUUUUACAGAAACUAUUGAUCUCUCAUGCUUCACUUAGAUUAUUUUGAGAGCCUUAAUAGCAUGGUAAUUUGCUUUAAAUCCUAAUAUGCUAGGUAUUCAAGAAUAAAGAAAUUCUCUUAUGAGUGUGUUGAAUACUAUGAUAAGUUUGAUACUUGAUAAUUAUUUUGAGAUAUGAAGAUGGUGAUAUUAAAGUCAUGCUAGUUGAGUAGUUGUGAAUUUGAGAAAUACUUGUGUUGAUGCUUGUGAUUCCCGUAGCAUGCACGUAUGGUGAACCGUUAUGUGAUGAAGUCGGAGCAUGAUUUAUUUUUUUAUUGCCUUCCUUAUGAGUGGCGGUCGGGGACGAGCGAUGGUCUUUUCCUACCAAUCUAUGCCCCUAGGAGCAUGCGCGUAAUACUUUGCUUUGAUAACUUGUAGAUUUUUGCAAUAAGUAUGUGAGUUCUUUAUGACUAAUGUUGAGUCCAUGGAUUAUACGCACUCUCACCCUUCCACCUUUGCUAGCCUCUCUAAUACCGCACACCUUUCGGCGGUAUCAUACACCCACCAUAUACCUUCCUCAAAACAGCCACCAUACCUACCUAUUAUGGCAUUUCCAUAGCCAUUCCGAGAUAUAUUGCCAUGCAACUUUCCACCGUUCCGUUUAUUAUGACACCCCCCAUCAUUGCCAUAUUGCUUAGCAUGAUCAUGUAGUUGACAUCGUAUUUGUGGCAAAGCCACCAUUCAUAAUUCUUUCAUACAUGUCACUCAUGUAUCAUUGCAUAUCCUGGUACACCGUCGGAGGCAUUCAUAUAGAGUCAUAUUUUGUUCUAAGUAUCGAGUUGUAAUUCUUGAGUUGUAAGAAAAAUAAAAGUGUGAUGAUCAUCAUCAUUAGAGCAUUGUCCCAGUGAGGAAAGUAUGAUGGAGACUAUGAUUCCCCCACAAGUCGGGAUGAGACUCCGGACGAAAAAAAGAAAAGAGGCCACAAAAAAAGAGAGAAAAGGCCCAAAUAAAAAAAUGAGAGAAAAAGAGAGAAGGGACAAUGUUACUAUCCUUUUACCACACUUGUGCUUCAAAGUAGCACCAUGAUCUUCAUAGUAGAGAGUCUCUCAUGUUAUCACUUUCAUAUACUAGUGGGAAUCUUUCAUUAUAGAACUUGGCUUGUAUAUUCCAAUGAUGGGCUUCCUCAAAAUGCCCUAGGUCUUCAUGAGCAAGAAAGUUGGAUGCACACCCACUUAGUUUCUUUUUGAGCUUUCAUAUACUUAUAGCUCUAGUGCAUCCGUUGCAUGGCAAUCCCUACUCACUCACAUUGAUAUCUAUUGAUGGGCAUCUCCAUAGCCCAUUGAUACGCCUAGUUGAUGUGAGACUAUCUUCUCCCUUUUUGUCGUCUCCACAACCACUGUUCUAUUCCACCUAUAGUGCUAUAUCCAUGGCUCACGCUCAUGUAUUGCGUGAAGAUUGAAAAAGUUUUGAGAAUGUCAAAAGUAUGAAACAAUUGCUUGGCUUGUCAUUGGGGUUGUGCAUGAUUUAAAUAUUUUGUGUGGUGAAGAUGGAGCAUAGCCAGACUAUAUGAUUUUGUAGGGAUAACUUUCUUUAGCCAUGUUAUUUUGAGAAGACAUAAUUGCUUUGUUAGUAUGCUUGAAGUAUUAUUUUUUUUAUGUCAAUAUCAACUUUUGUCUUGAAUCUUUUGAAUCUGAAUAUUUAUACCACAAUUAAGAAGAAUUACAUUAAAAUUAUGCCAAGUAGCACUCCGCAUCUAAAAUUCUGUUUUUAUCAUUUACCUACUCGAGGACGAGAAGGAAUUAAGCUUGGGGAUGCUUGAUACGUCUCCAACGUAUCUAUAAUUUUUGGUUGCUCCAUGCUAUAUUAUCUACUGUUUUGGACAUGAUUAGGCUUUAUUAUCCACUUUUAUAUUAUUUUUGGGACUAACCUAUUAACCGGAGGCCCAGCCCGGAAUUGCUGCUUUUUGCCUGUUUUAGGGUUUCGAAGAAAAGGAAUAUCAAACGGACUCCAAACGGAAUGAAAUCUUCGGGAACGUGAUUUUCUCAACAGAUAAGACCCGGGAGACUUGGACCCUACGUCAAGACACGUAACAGGAGGGCACGAGGUAGGGGGCGCGCCCACCCCCACUAGGCGCCCCCUCCACCCUCGUGGGCCCCCUGUUGCUCCACCGACGUACUCCUUCCUCCUAUAUAUAUCCACGUACCCCCAAACGAUCAGAACAGGAGCCAAAACCCUAAUUCCACCGCCAUAACUUUCUGUAUCCACGAGAUCCCAUCUUGGGGCCUGUUCCAGAGCUCCGCUGGAGGGGGCAUCGAUCACAGAGGGCUUCUACAUCAACACCAUAGCCUCUCCGAUGAAGUGUGAGUAGUUCACCUCAGACCUACCGGUCCAUAGCUAGUAGCUAGUUGGCUUCUUCUCUCUUUUUGGAUCUCAAUACAAUGUUCUCCCCCUCUCUUGUGGAGAUCUAUUCGAUGUAAUCUUCUUUUUGCGGUGUGUUUGUUGAGACCGAUGAAUUGUGGGUUUAUGAUCAAGUCCAUCUAUGAAUAAUAUUUGAAUCUUCUCUGAAUUCUUUUAUGUAUGAUUGGUUAUCUUUGCAAAUCUCUUCGAAUUAUCAGUUUGGUUUGGCCUACUAGAUUGAUCUUUCUUGCAAUGGGAGAAGUGCUUAGCUUUGGGUUCAAUCUUGCGGUGUCCUUUCCCGGUGACAGUAAGGGCAACAGGGCACGUAUGGUAUUGUUGCCAUCAAGGAUAACAAGAUGGGGUUUUCUUCAUAUUGCAUGAGUCUAUCCCUCUACAUCAUGUCAUCUUGCUUAAGGCGUUACUCUGUUUUUAACUUAAUACUCUAGAUGCAUGCUGGAUAGCGGUUGAUGAGUGGAGUAAUAGUAGUAGAAGCAGGCAGGAGUCGGUCUACUUGUCUCGGACGUGAUGCCUAUAUACAUGGUCAUACCUAGAUAUUCUCAUAACUAUGCUCAAUUCUGUCAAUUGCUCAACAGUAAUUUGUUCACCCAUCGUAGAAUACUUAUGCUCUCGAGAGAAGCCACUAGUGAAACCUAUGGCCCCCCGGGUCUAUCUUUACCAUAUUGAUCUCCUACUACUUAGUUAUUUCCUUUGCUAUUUCCUUUGCCUUUAUUUUACUUUGCAUCUUUAUCAUAAAAAUACCAAAAAUAUUACCUUAUCAUAUCUAUUAGAUCUCACUCUCGUAAGUGGCCCUAUAGGGAUUGACAACCCCUAUUUGUGUUGGUUGCGAGGAUUUAUUUGUUUUGUGCAGGUGUGAGGGACUCGCGCGUAGCCUCCUACUGGAUUGAUACCUUGGUUCUCAAAAACUGAGGGAAAUACUUACACUACUUUGCUGCAUCAUCCCUUCCUCUUCGGGGAAAACCAACGCAGUGCUCAAGAGGUAGCACAUAGCUAGGAUGCACACAGGCAACAUCAACACACGCACACAAAAAACACACGCUGGGAAAUAGCAAAGUCAUACAAGACCAAAUCUAUGCCUAAGAGAAAAAAGCCAAAGCGAUCAUAACAACGAUCAACAAACUACAACAAUGACCAUAUCCGCACCAUCCAUCUUUUGACACCACAAGGAAAAAAAUGUUCUUCAACAACAACGCCUUCAGGAAGGGACUGACGCACCAACGCCAUCGUCGCCGGAUCCAACCGCGAGAGGUGAAGGAAAUAUGCCCUAAAAGCAAUAAUAAAGUUAUUAUUUAUUUCCUUAUAUCAUGAUAAAUGUUUAUUAUUCAUGCUAGAAUUGUAUUAACCGGAAACUUAGUACAUGUGUGAAUGCAUAGACAAACAGAGUGUCACUAGUUUGCCUCUACUUGACUAGCUCGUUGAAUCAAUGAUGGUUAUGUUUCCUAACCAUAGACAUGAGUUGUCAUUUGAUUAACGGGAUCACAUCAUUAGAGAAUGAUGUGAUUGACUUGACCCAUCCGUUAGCUUAGCACGAUGAUCGUUUAGUUUGUUGCUAUUGCUUUCACCAUAACUAUACAUGUUCCUAUGACUAUGAGAUCAUGCAACUCCCGAAUACCGGAGGAACACUUUGUAUGCUACCAAACGUCACAACGUAUCUGGGUGAUUAUAAAGGUGCUCUACAGGUGUCUCCGAUGGUAUUUGUUGAGUUGGUAUGGAUCAAGAUUAGGAUUUGUCACUCCAAUUGUCGGAGAGGUAUCUCUGGGCCCUCUCGGUAAUGCACAUCACUAUAAGCCUUGCAAGCAGUGUGACUAAUGAGUUAGUUGCGGGAUGAUGCAUUACGGAACGAGUAAAGAGACUUGCCGGAACGAGAUUGAACUAGGUAUUGAGAUACCGAUGAUCGAAUCUCGGGCAAGUAACAUACCGAUGACAAAGGGAACAAUGUAUAUGUAACAUCCCCAGCAUCACACUACUGUAAUCCCUUAUGAUCAGUGCCAAGUCAUCUUGAUUUAUGAAGCUUAACCAUGUUGGGAUAAUAUCUCAUUUCAAAUUCCUUCUCUGAAUUCCAUUCAAAUAAAAAAAUGCAAAAUGAAGUUGAUCAAAACUUGUUGGAAAAAUGUUCACCUUUUAGCAAAUAAUCCAAAACUAUUUACUGUUAAGGAACACAACAUCAUCAUCAACUCUAAAUGGGCCUAAUGCAUUUUAACAGAGCAAAAAUAGCCUUUAAAAUGCCCUUUUCUUUAUUGUGUAAAUUCAAAUGAACUCCAAAAAUGCCCAAACUUUUGGUGGCAGUGCUGGAUAUUGCAAAGUAAUUAUGUGACCAAGUUUCACAUUUUUGCAAAAUCUUAUGGAAGCUCAAAAUAUUACUAAACCCCUUUCUGUAAAAAGAAAAUAAAAAAAGGCCACUAUGCACUGGCCUAAGUGCAUAGUGCCUAGAGCCCAGCCCACCACAGCCUCCUCCUCCUCCUCCCCCAUGUUCUCUGUUGAAGCGACCGAGGCACGCCCGCCGUCGCCGCUGAACCCACCUCGCCGACCUCGCCGCUACAGGCGCCGCGGGUGGAUAAAGAUCCACCUCUCCUCCCCCUGGCCUCCUCAUCCAUUCGCCCCCUCCUCGCUCUCCCUCGUUCACCCCUCUUCUGCUCUGUCUCGUUCGCCCGUGCACGGUCAUCGACGCGCCGCCGUCGAUCCCGCGGCCACCGCCUCCCGAUCGCCUCGCUGACGCGCCCUACCGCUCUGCCUCGCUCGGCUGCCUCGACUACACCUCGUCAUCGAGCUCGGGAACGACCGCACGCUCGGGAUCGACCUCACCUCUCCUUCUCGGUUGCCGGCGCUCGCCGUCAUCUCCGUCCAAUGCAGCUGCUCCUAAGCUUGCACGGGCCUUUCUUGGCCGCACGGUGAGCUCCUUCCUUCCUCCUUUCCUCUCCUCGCGCCGUGCAUUUCGCCGUAGCUAGUUCGCUGCCGUUGCCGUGCCUCUGCUUCCUCCGGCGUGCUUGUAGCCGUGUCGUUGCUACCCGUCGAGCUCAGAUGAGCUCGGGAUCGUGCUCGGCACGUCUGUGCGGGCCCGUUGCACCCCACCCUCAUGCUUUGUCGAGCCCCGUAGCGCCGACCCCGUGCUUCGACCGGAUGCGCCUCCGCAUAGCUCGUUGCCGGCGUCAUUCCGGUGACCUUUCGGUCUUUUGCUCGCGCCCAUCUUGCUCGCGCGUGCACGUAGGCCUCACCCCGCUCUCUGGAUAACCCGAACUCGCGUCGUACCACUGCUGUCGUUGCUCGCCCGAAGCACCUCACCGCCGACGAGCUCGAAUCGCUCGCCCCCGUCCGUUCCAGCCACUCUGGCCACCACCGUUCGAUGCGUGACGUCGAGCCGCGUCGAAUGCGCCCAGCCACAACCCCGCAGACCCCCUGUGCGCGAAAUCCGCGCCCCUCCCGAGCCGCGCCGCCGCGUUUGGCUCGCUGGAGUCAACUCCGGCGCGUCUCUGGCCGGUUUCCGACGUGGCGUCCACAUGGCACCACCUGGGCCACUGACUGGUGGGCCCAGGGGCCCCCUUUGACCUGUUGACUUGGGUCAACGCUGAUGUGGCCGCCCCUAGUGCCACUGACAUGUGGGCCCGGUGCUAAUUAAACAGGUUUUAUAAAUAAAAAAUGCUAAUUAAUCUAUUAAUUAGUUUAAUCACUAAUUAGUCGCUGACUAAUGGGGCCCACACCCCUAACUACUACUGUUAGUCAAAUUAAUCCACUGUUAACCCGCAGAGGCUGACAUGUGGGUCCCGGAGGCCCCACUGGUCAGGUUUGACUUGGUUAGUGCAGCUAUUGACUGAUGACGUCACUAUGAUGUCAUGCUAAUGCAAUAUUCCAUUUCUGUUACUAUAAAUAAAUCCAGAAAAUGUUUUAAUCUUUGAAAAAUCAUAGAAAAUAAAACGUACCUCGGACAAAAAAGUUUUAUACAUGAAAGUUACUCAGAAUGACGAGACGAACCCGAAUACACGGUCCAUUCAUCUGUCACAUGCCCCUAGCAUGCUGAACAUGGAACUUUCCCCCUCCGGUCAUUUGUCUAACACAGGUCCGGAACCGGGAAAACAUUCCCGGUUGAAUUCCCCCUUCACCUAUAUCGUGUAGCCCUACGUUAGGUCAACCCUAGCUCUGCCUAUCGUCAUGUAAUGCUUAGUGGUACCUUUGUUUGCUUUGUAUUUACUGUUUCUUCCCCCUCUUCUCUCCGGUAGACCCCGAGACCGAUGCCGCCCCUGUGAUCGGCUACGUUGACGACACUUCUUCCUUUACAGCAGAGCUUCCAGGCAAGAAAACCCCCCUUGAGCAUUCCGAUAUCGCCCAUUUCUUUCCCUCCCAUGCUUGCAUUAGAACUGCUACUGCUUUCUGCAUGAUCCUACUCUGAUGCAUAGCCUGUUGUUGUUACCUGCUUUCAUACCUUACCUACUUAUCCUAAACUACUUAGUAUAGGUUGGUUCGAGAUCCAUCAGUGACCCCACCUUGUCCCAGUUGCCUUGCUUUAUGUUCGAUGACUCGAUCAACGUGAUCGACGUCCAGGCCCCGACACCGCACAUCACCCCCCUAGUUGUACGACUCUGCAGAGUUACCAUCGAGUGCCGAGGGUGGAAUCUCUUACAUCACUCCUGAUGAGAUCUCCGUAGUGUAGCUAUACGGUCGAGGUCAUCGAGGGUGAUUUCCUUCUUAACCACUUCCGUUACAGCUCUGUCGUGCAACCGAUCAAACGUGAACCUCGAGGGUGGAUCCUCUUACGUUCACCUUGAUGACAACAUCGAGUGGAAUUCACCGGGGGUGAUUCCUCAGGUUUUCCCUUUGGUGUUAGACACACAGUUACUACGGUUACUAUGACUUUACACUGAACCAUGUUACUAAAGACGGGUCGACCCUGAGGGGUACCCGCGCGAGCUUAAUAGCGAGUGAUGUGGAGUCGGGUUGACCUGGAAGGUGCCCGCGAGAUACUUACGAGGCGUGGACGGGCAUUCUUAGCCCUUGCCGCAAGUACUCGAGACGGGGAGACGGGGUCACAUCGAUCGUGAGUCUCUGCUCGUUACCGCGCGUUCCUAUUCCACUACGAUUUGGAUAUUUGAUCCGAGGGGCCUCUGGCCUGAUAGCACUAACCAUCACGUGGGCAUAGUAUGGGCGUUCUGUGUCGUAUACAUCAGCCGAAGCUUAAUAGACGUCAGCGACUGAGCGGCUCGCGCCGGGUUGGACUGGUAAGCACAUACCUUGUUGAAGGAGGUAGCUAGGUCUGCUCACCGGCCGCGUACGCAACAUGCAGGAGUUCCUGGGGAGAUGGCCCAUGACCCCUGGGGGCAUAGGUUUAGACCGGCGUGCUGGCCUCUAUAUCCUAGGUCGGGUUGCGGCGUAUUGUUUGGUCGAGGCCGGGCAUGACCCAGGAAAGUGUGUCCGGCCGGAGUUAAUCGAGCGUGGUGGGUAAGUUGGUGCACCCCUGCAGGGAAGAAAACAUCUAUCGAUAGCCUGUCCUACGGUAACGGACACUUGGAGUUGUAUCACGAUCGAUACAACUAGAACUGGAUACUUGUGAUGAGAACUGGAUGGUGAUGAGAAUUGGAUUGUGGUGAUAACUGUAUAGUAUGGCUCUGGGAUUGCUUUCUCGCAGGGAGUCAAGAGAGGAUCUCUGGCCGAUGUUGAUAACACUACUGCUACUUUACUUUAUGCUACUCUACUCCCUCCUGUUGUUGCAAGAUGGUGGUUUCCAGAAGAUGCUAGUCUUCGAUAGGCUAGGCUCUCCCCUUCCCUUCUGGCAUUCUGCAGUUUAGUCCACAGAUACAACCCAUUCCUUUGAUACAGAUGCAUACUUAGUUUAGAUCUAAUGUAAGUAUUGCGAGUACUUUGGAUCAGUACUCACGGUUGCUUUGCUACUUCUUUUUCCCCCAUACCCGAUUGUUGCGACCAGAUGACGGAUCCAAGGAGCCAGACGACGCCACUGAUGACCACUACUACCCGGAGGAUGACUACUACUACGUGAAGACCGCAGACGACUAGGAGUAGUUAGGAGGCUCCCAGGCAGGAGGCCCUGCCUUUUCGAUCGUUGUUGUUUUUGUGCUAGCCUUCUUAAGGUAAACUUGUUUAACUUAUGUCUGUACUCAGAUAUUGAUGCUUCCGCUGACUUUUGUGUAUUCGAGCUUAUGUAUUCGAGCCCUCGAGGCCCCUGGCUUGUAAUAUAAAGCUUGUAUUAUUUUAAUUUGUGUCUAGAAUUGUGUUAUGAUAUCUUCCCGUGAGUUCUUGAUCUUGAUCAUACACAAUUGCGUGUAUGAUUAGUGUACGAUUGAAUCGAGGGCGUCACAGUAUACCGUUAUGCGGUUUGACCGAUAAAGAUCUUCGUAGAAUAUGUAGGAACCAAUAUGAGCAUCCAGGUUCCGCUAUUGGUUAUUGGCCGGAGAUGAGUCCCGGUCAUGUCUACAUAGUUCUCGAACCCGUAGGGUCCGCACGCUUAAAGUUCAAUGACGAUCGGUAUUAUGAGUUUAUGUGUUUUGAUGUACUGAAGGUUGUUCGGAGCCCCGGAUGAGAUCAGGGACAUGACGAGGAGUCUGGAAAUAUUUGAGACGUAAAGAUCGAUAUAUUGGAAGGCUAUAUUCGGACAUCGGAAAGGUUCUGAGUGGUUCGGGUAUUUAUCGGAGUACUAGAGAGUUACGGGAAUUCGCCAGGGAGUAUAUGGGCCUUAUUGGGCUUUUGGGGAAAGAGAGAGGGGAGGCUGCGCGCCCCCCAAGGCCUAGUCCGAAUUGGACUAGGGGAGGGGCGGCGCCCCCUCCUUCCUUCUCUUCUCUUUUUCCUUUCCUUCUCUCCUACUCCUACUACAUGGAAGGGAGGAAAUCCUACUCCCGGUGGGAGUAGGACUCCCCAGGGCGCGCCAUAGUAGAGGGUCGGCCCUCCCCUCCUCCACUCCUUUAUAUACGGGGGAGGGGGGCACCCCAUGGACACACAAGUUGAUCAGUUGAUCUUUUUAGCCAUGUGCGGUGCCCUCCUCCACCAUAAUCCACCUCGGUCAUAUCGUAGCGGUGCUUAAGCGAAGCCUUGCAUCGGUAGCAUCAUCAUCACCGUCAUCACGCCGUCGUGCUGAGGGAACUCUCCCUCGAAGCUCUGCUGGAUCGGAGUUCGUGGGACGUCACCGAGCUGAACGUGUGCUAAACUCGGAGGUGUCGUACGUUCGGUACUUAAAUCGGUCGUAUCGUGAAGACGUACAACUACAUCAACCGCAUUCUCGUAACGCUUCCGCUUAUGGUCUACGAGGGUACGUGGACGACACUCUCCCCUCUCGUUGUUAUGCAUCACCAUGAUCUUGCGUGUGCGUAGGAAAUUUUUGAAAUUACUGCGUUUUGCAACAAGAGGCCAGAAUCUAGGUUUUCACCCUGAAGAACAAGUCCGAGCAUAUCUGAGCAAUGUCUUCAACAAGGUAACUAUGCAGAAAAUGUUGCCAUUGCCUGGCAUAACCAAUUUAGGUCAAACCUAGGGUUUUCACCCAAGAGAUCGAGACGGGAUACUCGAGAAGCACCACCAAAUCUAAGUCAAUCAUGUGUUGACGCCACCAUUUUUCCACGAUCCCAGCAGCUACAUGCGCUGGGCUCUGAAAUCCUACCAGCGUUGCUGCUGCAGAACCAUAUCCUUUGUGUCAAGUCACCGUCCAUAGAUUACAUCUCAUCGCCGAAGGCAGACUGGUUGAAGCGAGAGCCACCAGAACCCAUAAAGGGGGCUUUUGGCUAUAUCCCGCCAGCUCGCCGGUUCGAGUCACCAGCAGCAACCAUCAGAUCCAAAGAGAUAAAUACUCACGAAGACCAUCAAUUGGCCACGACAAUCCGCAUGGCACGGAUGCCCAUAACCAAGUGGAUCGCCACCCGAACCCUGAGCCGCCACAGAGCGCCGAGGCAAGCACGCGCGAGAGAGCAUGAUUCCGCAGCCGCAAGGAUGGUACCACCAGGACUUCAUGCUAGUCAACCCUAGAUAUAUACUGUUGAUGCUUUCUCUCGUCCAGAUCCAUAACAGGGACGCCAUGAUCUGCUGCCGUACAACGCACCGCCGGUCCUCCUCGUGCAAACCAAGCAGUUACAGCCCAUGGUUACCGCAGCAAGAUGGAACGCCGAUGCAAGGAUCACGCUAACACCCCACACGCGCAGGUCUCCAGAUUUGUUUCUUUGCCACUGCAGCUACGUCACGACCACUAGCCCGCGACAACCACCACACAGGAGCAGGGGCAUCAUGAGGACUAGGUAGGAUGCAUGGGAGUGGGCAGGAGUGGCCCCGCCGCCGUCACCGACCAGCCGCCGGCCGCCGGCGACAACAGUGAGGGUAGGGAAGAGGAGGCGGCGCCUAGGGUUAGGGCCGUGGGGUGUCGCCCCGUGAGUCGCCCAUUUCCCAAUGUACUGAAUCCAUUAUCAAGAACAGAAACUUGAGAAUGUUUAUCUCAAAACUUUUUUUGCACAUGCUUGUUUUCAAAACCUGGAAAUUGUACUGCACAACAACAUCAUCUAAGUGUUCUUGCCUAAAAAAGAUCUUCUUUGGCUACAACAAAAAAAAAA